Molecule: long non-coding RNA, 80595 nt
Filed under: Ananas comosus (pineapple)
Lineage: Eukaryota; Viridiplantae; Streptophyta; Magnoliopsida; Poales; Bromeliaceae
Description: long non-coding RNA (ACOM_LNC016107)
Source: RNAcentral
UUUUAAUUAUCUCUACAAGAAAAUCAUUUAUUAGAUUUGGUUUGGAAUUGCAUAUUCUGGAAGGCCCAAAAAUUUGGUAAACCAUCGGUACAUGAACAGUAUAAAAUGAUGACGAAAAGAGAAAAAAAAAAAAAAAAAAAAAAAAAAAACCCCCCGAAAGAGCAGAUGUGAUCUGAAAAAUUGUAAUGUUUAUAAAUAAAUUCUACAAUAGUUAAUAAAAAUUCAAAUUUUAAUAGUUGGAUUUUAUUCUUGUCAUUAUGAAUCAUGACUAUCACUUUGUGAGUAAUACUUCUUUGCUGAUCAUUAUGACCACCCAUAUAAAUAAAUUUGUAAAACGCUGUAAAAUUUGUUUGCAAUCGUAGCAUUAUUCUGCAAACUAUCCGUUUUAUGGGCCUCUAAACCUUACUCACCAUUCUAUGGAUACAUGGUAUGCAAUCAUGAAUAUACAAUUUGAGUAUUGUAAUCACUAUUAGAAAAGUAAUCACUAUUAGAAAACCUAACCACUAAAAGUUACUAAAAAGAAAGACCCAAAUUGCCUUUAAUUAAAACAAGCAAAUGGCUCUCACUCUUUCUUUUAAACCCCCAUGGUCCUAGUCUCCCAAAUGCUCCUUUGCUUUCCCUACUCCUCAAAGGCCUAAACCAAAAGAAAUGAGUUAUUAGAGAACAUGGUCUCUUUGAUCUCUCCCUCUCUAUCAAUACUUGUGUUCUCUCUAAGUGUUCAUACAUAUGAAUCAACCAAACCAAACAUGGUACAUCUUAUCCAUUCUCUUCUUCUUCUUCUUCUUCCUACUAUCUUUCGCGCAAACCGCGCACCGUAACGCCUCAUUCGAUUCCUUGGACUCCGUCAUUCGCGAUCACGCAUUCGAAACAAUACUCACACGCCGGUCUGGCCAACUCUAUCAAGUCCCUCUCCCUUCAAACCUCUCUGGUAUCGAAGCUUCGACCGUGAGGCUCCGCGGCAGUUAUCUUUGGAGCUCCGGAGCGAAUUCUACCUCAUUCCACAUCCCACCGAGGACAAGUGCCGUUCCUUUCGCAAAGCGACUCGUCCUCGUAUUCGAAAACUUUGGCAACUUCUCCGCCUCCUACUUCAGUGUGCCUCUCAAUCACACCCUCGCCACUCUGGUUCUCGGCUUACUCGCCUAUGACGCAUCGAAUUUGACCUCUGGUGCCACUACCGAGCUUAAGUUUGAAGUUCUUGGAGAUUCGAUAUCCAUAACUUUCCACGAAUUCAAACUACCAGAGAGGAUGAAUAACGUGACAGCCAAGUGCGCGAGUUUUGGACCAAACAGGUCAGUGCGAAUCCAUGAUUUGGCGUCGGAGAACACGUGCACGGCUACGAGCACAGGCCAUUUCGCGAUCGUCGUGUCGUCGGACAUUCGACGGCCGGAGGGGAGAGAGAGGGGAGGGGUGGUUUUGGUGAUUGCUUGUGGAGUGGGUGCAGUUGGGUUGGUUUUGGUGGGGUUAGUAGGGAUAUUGGGGUUAGUUAAGUUGAGAAGGGAUAAGAAAAGGGAGAGAGAAAUAGAAGAAGGUGGGGAGGGCUUAGGUGUGGUUUGGGUAAGGAGAAGCAAAAUGCCUUGUGCAACAAUGGUUAGGACUCAAGCAAUCAUUGAGGAUAGUAUUAGUGUAUCCACCACAUUGAGAAACCCAUAUGGUUGAGAUGGUUAAUAUUGAGGGUUUAAAAAGAACUAAUUAAUGUGUAACAUAUAAUGUUGGAGUUGAUUGGGUGGGAAUUGGAACAAUGUCCAAGUACUUAAUAAAGUACCACUCAAACUGAUGUGUGUGCAAAUGUUUUCUAAUCUAUUUCUUGUUUUAGUGAUUGAUGUUGACAAUCUAUGCAGCUUUUUUACUCAUAGAGCAGUGUAUCACCAAUUAAACACUAAAUUAAAAAAAAAAGUCUUUCGAACAAGCACUAAUAGCUUUUUCAUUAAAGUCGCGGGUUAACUAGUUUCCACUCGAACAGAAGCUCAAAUUUAAAUUGAAACUUUUGCUAUGACACCCUGUAGAACGCAGCGGAAGUAUUCGUUCGUACCUUUUGCGGAAGCGAUUCGCGCAACAAUGCGAUAAGCCCGGAUCGUUUAGAUUGAUUCACGUGUCCUCGGAUCGUCCUUGAAUGUCUUCUCACGCUCCAAACUCGCGGUGGAUCGAACUACAAACGAGCGCGAUCGCAAAUCCACCGUGCAAGUCCCUCUAGAAUAAUAGGUCAAUGGAGGAUGUGGUUUCUCUCUAUUAUUUUCUUAUUCUCUCUCUUUUUCGGUUCUUUUAUUUUUGUAUAUCGUUUCAUGUGGGAUCACCCGUCUAUUUAUAAGGAAUUCCAAAAUCCUAAUAGCGUUAGAGAUAAGGCCAAAUCGGUUAUUAUUUGUUAUCCUAAUAUGAUUAGAUUUAUCUCUAAUUAGCUUUCCAAUUUGAAAGCGAGAUUAAUCCUAAUCCAAUUAGAUAACAUAAUAUCCGUCGGAUCGAACCCGCUUAUGGGCGUACCCGAUUCGAUUUAACCGAAUGCCAACACACCCAAAAGACCAUUUGAGCACCUAAUCAGAAUAAAAGCUCCAGAAAGCCAAACUUAAGAACACAGAAACCAUACUCAAGGAAAUCAAUAAAAAGGCUCAAUUUUAUUGUCAAAUCAACAGUUAAUUAUAAUCAAUAAAUCACUAUAUAAGAGAAGGAUUUUAACUGAUUUACAUAUGCAAUUCAAGACUCCACAUAAAUUGAUCAACACAUCAACAAUAUAUAAAACUACGCUCAUAAGAGACCCAAAGCAUUUCUCAAUAUUAAUAUAUCAUUUUUCUUUGGUGAGAGACAUGCGACCAUGUUUCAAAGUGAGAAUAUACGUAGGCAAAUUUAUGAUUUGCAAGAGAGUUAAUUAAAUUUGAGGGUAUAUGAAAUACAUAUAACUCGUUAUAUCUGUUAGCCAUUUGUUAGCAAAUUAACCGUUUCGCAGACACAACCUGCACCUUUUCAUGUAGUCCUUUUAGUCCGAGACGAGUUUGUACAGUUUCCGCCAAUAGAUUGAGCAAUGUGAAACCCCUGUACAAAGUUCAUCUGCCGCACCGUUGGCGGCGAAUCGUGCAUUCAACUGAGUCGCAAUUGCAGAGGCUAAGUAAUUCUACUUAAAUGGAAAAUGUCUACAUGCCCAGCGUAGGAAACAACCAUGACUAUGAUCACUACAAGGAAUGUACAAUGUCAAUGGAUUUACAGUUACAACAUACGGAAAACGACAGGAAGAGGAUGUCGCGACAUGAUGCAAACCAGAAGAGAAAGAUGGAUCGCGAAAAGGAAACAAGAGAAUGGAGCCAAACCCUUUGCUGGAUAAUUUUGAUACUUGAAUCUACACUUCAUCGUUUUGUUUUGUUCAAAAUCCUAGUUUUGAUGCCUCCUGCAGCAACUAAUAGAGCAGCAUUAAUAAUAUAGUUAACAACUCGAAGAAGCAGAGCAGAAGCACAAGCCUUGGUCUCACACAAAGUCAGAUAGUUUGCACCCCACUGAUUAUGAUUCAAGAGCAACUUGAUUAAGCUUCUACAAUAUCUAGAAUUAACUAUUCCUAUAUUUGCGAAAGUUGUCAAGAUAAUUUGAUUAGAUAGAAUAUGGCAGGGAGGUUGAUCAAGUCAUAUAAAGAUUUGGAAACUAAAAAUCAAAAUCUCCACUAGACCAGGGUAGAUUGAACAAGUUUUAGUACUAGGUUACGUGCGGUUGCCUAAAUUUUGCAUCUCUGCGGACCAAACUACAAACUAGGCCUUAAUAUCUCUUCAUUCUUUUACCGAUGUUAAUCAAAAGAAACCCAUGGCCUCCAAAUGUUAUGUGGCCUUAUGACCGUCUCUGGUACCAUAUAUCGAAAAAAAUACGAUUUGAUAGAAAGUUUUAACACCCCAUGGUUGAAUGAAUUCUAAUGUAAUGCAGUAGCAUCUAAUCUGCAACCAAAGCAAUGUUAGCAAUCCUACAUGUACCUUCAAUUUGUUCGAACUGAACUUCUUUCACUGUAUCCGCAGCAGGAUGGUAUUGAAAUCUGCCGUAUAGAAAGUAAACAUCAAUUCACUGGUGCCAACCUUUUAAAAUUAGCAAGAGAAAUAUGUUUAGAAUUAACCAGCUAUCAAAUUUGAUUUGAUGUGUAUACUAACAACCGAGUUGUUAGUAUGAUCAGAAAAGAAAAAUUAAUGAACUGUUACAGCAUUUGAUUUUUGCUUUCCUUAGUUAUAGUUCCCACAAAAAUAAAAAGCUAGAAAAAUAAGACCGAUAUUAGCGCCAUGCUACUAUUCAAAAAAUAAUAUCCAGGGUCAUGGAGUUAGCCAAAAAUAUGUGCAUCUUCAAAUUCCGAAAACGGUUACAUGAAAAUUCAGUGUUUCCGUAUUUACCUGUUCGAGAAAACAACUCCGAUUUCAUACGUAGAUUUGCCCUUGGUGGCCUCAACUAGAACAGUUACAAUCUCUGUUUUCCUGGUGCUGGCCAUAAGGCAGUCGUACUCCGUCGGAACAAUGAACGCGAAAAAGUUAUCAUUCAGCUUGCUCAAGCACAUCCUAUCAACCGCCGCGAGUGCUAUUCUCCUCUUUAGCACAUUUGCAUCUGGAUCGAUGAGAUGUAUGGCGUGAUCUGUGAUCAGCAACAUACGAGUCUUGAUCUUUCCCGAUCCAGUGAACUUCAGAACCUUGUCGGCAAGUUUGGUCACCUGCAGGACGAAAAACAGCCUCAACAUGAGUUGGCAUAGUUUGCUAUUUAAUCUGUAAAGAGUGAUUGAAGUGACCAAAUCAUCAAAACAGCACCCCAAAAAAAAAAAAAAAAAAAAGGGGGGGGGGCAAUUGCCUAUAUACUCCUGAAAAGUUUACGGUUUUUUUAUUUACCCCUCUUAGAAAGCUAAUAUUGAAAAUACCCUUCUUAUGUUCCAAGUCUUUCUAAUAUACCCCUGGAGUUAAGUUCCGUUAGUGAGCUGCCGUUAUCUCUGAAAAAUUAUCAUUUUGCCCAUUCCAAUAUACCCUUAUACCGUAACUAACUUUUCUUAUAUACCAUUCAUAUGGCAAAUACUUUUCUUAUUUGCCCUUCAAAUAUCAAUUAAUUAAUUAAGCACGUCGGGAGCGAACAGAUGAACGGAUGAGAUCGAUCGCAGCUAAACCAACCUUGGUGGCUGGAGGCAUAGUUAGUUAAUUCGGAUUCGGCAAAAAUUCGGUACAGAUAUAAUUCGGAUAAAAUUCGUCUUUUAAUUUUUAAAUUCGAUGAAAAAUACGGCUAAAAUAACGGAUUCGGCAUUAUUCGGAUACGUGAUUUAUACAGGUAUUAUACGUUCACCAAUUAAAAAUUCGGGAUCAAAUUCGGCUAUAUAAUAAAUAUAUAUAAUAAUAUAUAUAUAUAUUAUUAUUAUAAUUUUAUAUAUAGAUUAAAUAUAUUUAAAAUUAUAAUAAACAUAUAUUUAAUAUAUAAGAGUUAUAUAUUUAAAAUAUUAAUAAAUAAUUAAAAUUUAUAAAUAAAAUAUUAUAUUAUAAUAUUUCUAUAUAUAAAUAAAAUACUAUAUGAUAUAUUAUUUAUAAAAUAAAAUUUAUAUAUAUAUAUAUAUAUAUACGCUGGGGCUACUAUACUCAUAUGAGUAUAGAGCUCUUUGUACUCAUAAGUUUUCGACCGUUCAGAUGAAAAAAUGUGUGGUUAGGAUGAAGUGAUUAUGGUUAGGUUGAUAGUGGGCCCCCUAGGGUUGAGUGGGUGGUUGGUUGAAUAGUAUAAUCAACGGGUGAAAAUGAUUAAAGGGUAGAUCUCGGCCAAAAAUUUAUAAGUAAAUUAGGCUCUAUACUCAUAAGAGUAUAUAUAUAUAUAUAUAUAUAUAUAUAUAUAUAUAUAUAAUGAGAGGGAGGUCCACCCUCUCAUCCGGACAGCGCACACCCACUGCUCCCCUCCGCGCGCAACACCGCGCCAUUUCUCCUCUCCGUGCGCAACACCGCGUCCAUUGAUGCAAAGCCCCUAAAAAUCCCAACUUUGACACAAAAAACACGAGUUAACAACUAAAGAAGAGAAUAGAAGGGACAAAAAUUUCGUGGGCAUCCGUGCCCAAACAAUUUGUUUGGGCACGGAUGCGGAUGGGCGCCGCGUGGUGUGCGGCGCCCAUCACGACCCUUCGAAAAAAAAAAAUAAAAAUCGGGGGCCUCCGGUUUUUAGAAAAAUAGAGAGAAAGGGGAAGGGGCGGUGGUGAUGGGCGUCGCACACCAUGUGGCGCCCAUCCGCAUCCGUGCCCAAACAAAUUGUUUGGGCACGGAUGCCCACGAAAUUUUUGUCCGAAUAGAAGUGCCCAAAUCCUCAAAUUGGUUGUGAACAACUAAACCCAAACACCAAAAAAACGAACGCCCAUUAAUGCAAGACCCCUAAAAAUUCAAACUUUGACACAAAGAACACAAGUUAACAACUAAAACAAAGAAUAGAAGGACCCAAAUCCUCAAAUUGGUUGUGAACAACUAAAUCCAAACACCAAAUGAACGAACACCCAUUAAUGCAAAACCCCUAAAAAUCCAAACUUUGACAGAGCAUAGCAAAGGGAAAGGUUGGGUUCCUUGGAAACAACUAUGGGAGGAGCAUGAGAACGUCGCCAACGGCCUCGGGCGGAUGGCACGCAGACGGCCUCGGGCGAGACGGGAUCGUCGCUGCGGCCCUCUUGCUCCCGGCGCUGGCCAAGACGGCAGAGGAGGAGGACGAAGAUGACGAGAGUGGCGGAGGAGGAGGACGACAAGAGCAGUGAGAGGGGUGGUACAUGUUGGAGAUGGAGGUGUGGGAAGUGGUGGUGGUCUGGGAGGAGAUGAGGCGAGGUGGAGUUAGAUGAGCCAGUGCUGAGGUUAGCGGUGGUGGUGAGCGGCUGGCGAAGUUGGGAGAGAAGGAGAGGAUAACUUAAGGGAUUAGGAUAAUAAGGUAGGGGCAAAAUAGGUAUUUUAGAUAGGUUUUAACUCUAGUAUACAUUUAAUCCAUGUUUAACCAGAGUUAAACUAACAGGGGAUAACCGCGGGGAUAUUUUGGAAUAACGGUGGAAUAUAUGAGAGGCAUUUUAGAAAAAAAAAAAAGAAGUAGGGGUAGAUCGGAUAUUUUCAGACGCAUGAGGGGUAUAUAGGUAAUUAUCCCAAAAAAAAAAGUACAGGUGCCAAACCAUAAUUCAGAGAUCAUUGUGAGGUGAACUUUCUCACAGGCAUGGCUUAAUUUGGGCUUAGCUAAUUUGACACUUUCAUAAAUUCAUAUGGCUAUUAUUUGUUAACAUGAAUGUAGAGAUUGUUACAAAAUUUAAAGUUCAAUAGAUAAUUUGACAAUACAUAAAAGUACAAUUCAAAAGACAUCUGUAAAGUGAAGUUUAACCUACUUUAGAUGUAAAACAUCUAAAUAAUACAAUCAAUUGGUACCAAAUAAUCUAAUCUAAUAUUGCGCGGUCAAAGUUUAUUUUAGAACUUAAAAUUUAAAUUGUGCGAUCCCCCCAAAGUGGGGAUAUUGCAUAUUUAUUUUUAGGACUUUAAAACAUCUUAUAUAUACCCUUACAAACUUUACUAUUAUGACUGUUUUGUCCUUGUCAUGAUUGGUAAAAGUAACCAACUCGGAUGGAGAGAUCAAGCCCCAUCACUUUUUCUUAGUAAAUCAAGAUCGUUUGAUUUGCUUUGGCUUCGUUUGAAUGUCUUCAAUUGCUAAUUUUAUGAGAGCAAUGAAGCAAGAAAAUAAUGAGCUAUUCAAAAAAUACAAUCAAUUCACUUAAAAUGUAUAAAUAUUGUGCCCACGGUCUCGAUUGUAAUUUGGUCCACAAUCAGUCCAACUGGUUUUUUGCCAUUUCUAAUAUGACUCGACCCAAUCCAACCUCCCGUCAUUUCGAACAUGACUUGAGCCAAUCUGGCCUCCCUCCACGGUGCAGGAUACUAACUCCUUUAAGCCAACAAUAAGGAUAAAAUAAUUUUUUAAGUAAAAUACGAUACUUUGGUACUUUAUUUACAAAUUUUUGAAAAAACUUUAAAUAUCAUUCCUGUGGUUUCGCACUCUUUCUUUUUUAUUUUAGUACAUUGUGGUUUAAAGUAUAUCAAUUUAGUAUCUCGCAGUUUCAUUUUUCUCUUUUUAUUAUUAAUUUCACUAAUUUUUUUUGUUAAAUCAGUAUCAAAGUUAAAGCUAAAAGUUACUAAAGUGAACAUUCAAUAAAACUAGAUGGAUAUCUGAAGUUUUUUUUUGUAUAUAACUAAACGAAAUAUUAACGAAGAGGAUGAUGAAAGGAGAAAAAUAAAACCCCAGGUACUAAAUUGAUACAAUUUAAAAAUACUAAAGUGAAAAAGUUCGAAACCACCAUUCACCCUAAAUUUUUAAAGUUUGAAGCGACAACUAUUCAAUAUUCAAACUUUCACCUUUUUUCGAUAAAAUGCGGGAGAGGGAGGGAUUGGAUUCGACGUCGAGGUAAUCUCCCCCGCGAUCGCGCCGAAUCGAAGCUCUCCGCCGCGCCUUCACCCCCAUGAACGGCUUCGGAGCCGCGCUCGCCUCCUCUCCCUCCCCUCUUCGACCGUUCUCGCCAUUAAUUAGGGUUUGCUUCGAUCGCACCUCUCCUUCUUCUUCUUCUUCUUCCUGGAACUGUUGUUGUUGCUGCUGCUGCUGCUGCUGCUGCUGCUGUGAUUGGGGUCUCCACCGUGGGACGAGGCGAUCCAUGGCGAAGGCGAAGCCGUGGAAGCGCUUCUGCGGCGGGGGAAGGAGAAGCGCUUCGCUCUGAAGCAGUUGCGUGAGAGCGCACCACUCUCUCUCUCUCUCUCUCUCUCUCUCUUCGCUUGGGCUAAAAGAAAAGAAAUGGUGGUGGCAGCGUCAGUGGGUGGAGCACCGGAAACAUAGAAAUUGUUGCAAACAACCGGUGUAUCCGUACUAUCCUGCACCAUAAUUACGAGUUGAUGACUUAAAAUUAAUAAAAAUAAAAAUAUGGGCAAACUUCAAAUACCAUCCAUGUGAUUUCUCACUUUCUCACUUUAGUAUCCUGUAAUUUAAAGUGUAUCAAAUUAGUACUGUAGUUUCAUUUUUCUUUUUCGUCAGCUCCUACGUUAAUAUUUCGUUAAAUUAUACAUAAAAAAAUUCAGAUAUCCCACUUAAGUUUAUCGAAUAUUCACUUUAGUACCCUUUAGUUUUAACUUUGUCAUUGAUUUAACGAAAAAAAAAAAUAGCGGAAUGGAUAAUGAAAGGAGAAAAAUAAAACCAUAGGGUACUAAAUUGAUAAUAAAAGAAAAAAAUAAAACCACAAGCACUAAAUUGAUACACUUUAAAUUACUAGGUACUAAAAUGAAAAAGUACGAAACUACAAAAAUGAUAUUUAAAGUUUUUUCUAAAAAUAUUAUUACUCCGAUAAAUAGGCUUUCCAAGUAUAAAAUGCCUAUACAUAAAAAUUAUAUAAGUUUUGGAAAGCCAUUAGUCAAUCAUUUAAGACUUUAAAUUGGAGUUGUAGCCUCUAAAAUCACAUAUUUUAAUGAAUUAGAAGGCCUUCUAAAAUUCCAAAAUAAUUGCAAAUUUUAUUUUAUUUUAUUUUUGAUACUUUGAAAAGACCAUAAAAAUUGAGAAUUUUUAUAGAAGAAGCAAACUCAACACAACAUUAUGUUAUAAUAUUAGAGGAUAGAAAAUUAAAAGUGAUUUUAAAAUUUAAGGUUUUAAUAUAGUAUAGUUGGAUUUUCAUGUAGCUAGAAAUGCAGCAAUUAUAGUGGCAUGCAUCUUAUUAUGUUAGAUGUAGUAAAGUGUUGCAACUGUAAAUAAUUUAUUUAGUUGUAUGCGGUCGAGAGCUGUAUUUUUUAGGAUUUUAUCAUUUUAUAUAUGAAAAAUAUUUUUUGUUUAAAAAAUAAUUAGAGAUAUAAGCUUUUUUUUCAUCUAAAGCUACUUUUUCCUACUGCUACAGUUGGAGCCAGUGCCAAUUUAGAUACAGUUCCAAACUUUGCAGUUAAAUUUGCUCAUGCAGUUUCAACUAUAAUAAUUAAAUUCAAAUAUAUCAAACUAAAUAUCAAGCUUGGUUCUGUGAGUUGUUAUAACUAUUAUAUAACUAUAAUUGUAUUCAACCAAAUAGUCCAGUAAGAACUAGUUAUUACAGGGAUCGGCACCGUUUGGCAAGGGAAUAGGAAUAGGGAUAACCCCUUAUCCCCCUUUGUACCCAAACGCUAAUUUUUUACCUGAAAAUAGUAGUUCUCGGUUACCUAUAAUAAUCGGGUAUAACUAACUAUUCCCACCAACACCUUUAUUUUCUAUAUAAAAUUAUUCAUUAUUUUUUUUUCCAUAUUAUCUAUUCAAACGCUAUUUUUUUAUCCCCAUACUUAUAUAUAUUCUUGUAAUAGCUAAUUCUUAUUUAUACUCGAACCAAACGCUACUUUAAAAUAUUAGAGGAGGUGCUUUUAUACGUUACCAUCGCAAGUUUGGUCUAAUUGGCUUUGGAAAUUGAUUUUUUUGAACGAGCUUCCAUAAUGGAAAUUUAAAGGCGAGGUGCACAGUGGACCAGUGCACCGGGUGUAGGCAGCGAUUCUGGGCCAGUACGAGGGAACACACUGUUUGAAGGGAACCUUUCCGUAAUGGCAGACACACGUGGUUGUUGGCGACUUGGCGUCCGAUUGAAUGAUUACUCGGAGGACAAAUCCAUUUAAACAACUGUUUGGUAAAUUUACAUAAAAAAAAUUCAUUAGUUGAGCAUUUUUAUAUAUAAAUGAGCCAUAUUUUUAAUUUUACAGAUUAAUUAUAGAUUUUCAUAAACUCUCUCCUUUCUUUUUUCUCUCUCUCUCUCUCUCUUUCAAUGUUUCUUUAUUUCUUUCUCAUCCCGCUUCAUCUCUAUUUCUUUUUUUUCAUCCCAUGUCAAUGUCAUGCUCGCCUCUUCUAUCUGACUCACACUUCUGCCAAUAUAUGCUUGCGACGAAGUGAGAUCGAUAUGACAUAUAUCACAAAGAUAUGAUUGGGGCGGAGUGCGUGGCAGUGAACGACAAUGACGACGAAAGUGCCGCAUGAUGAGGACAACGAAGAGGAAGAGCGCAUCAGGGCGAAAGAUGGUUGCUGCGGUAGAAGGCUAGGGAGGGUGCGCUAUAGCGAAAAAACAUACAGAGGAUAGAAGGAAAAAAAAAAAAAAUAUUAUUUUUCUUCUCUUGAUAAGGUAAUCACACACCGCGGCUACUAUAGAAAAGAUCAAGGAGAAAAGAAAGAAAGAAAAAAGUUAUUUUGUUUACGAUGAAGUUGUACUAUUUAAAAUUAUUCUGAGACUAAAUUGUACUAUAAAAAAUUAUACUAUAAAAAAUAAAAGUUGUACCGUUAAUGGCUUAACGCUAAACUAUACUCUUUAAGACUUAAAUUGUAUUGCUUGAGAAGUUACAAUUUAGUUUUAAAUAGUACAACUUAGUCUUAAAUAGUGUUACUUUUAUUUUAUGUGAUAUAGCUUAGUCUUAAAUAAUUUUAAAUAGUGUAACUUCGUUUUAAAUAGUGCAAUUUAUUAUUAUUCUUCUUCUUUCUUUCCUACUUCUUUAUUUUUUUUUAUUUUAAUGAUGGCCAUGACACAUGAUUAUCUUACCAAUAGAAAAAAUAUUUUUUUAAUUCUUUUCUUUUUUUUUUCUUUUACCCUUUGCAUUCUUUUUCACUAUCGCGUCUCCUCUCUCUCCCUCUGCCCUAUCGCUAGUUGUUGUUGCCCCUGCACGCUUUUUCUUCCCAUCCUUUUCAAUUCUUGUAAUAUUCUUGUUACUGUCAUCGUCCACGGCUAUGCCAUCUACAGCCACACCUCCGCAAUCUAUGCCAUAUUCGAACCUGCAUUGCCGCCAUCGGCGUCGAAGGAGGUGUAAAUGAGAUAGGAGAGAAGAGCACGGUGUCGAUGGACACAGUGGAGAAAGGAGAGGAGGGAUGGGAAGUAGGAGAAGAAAGAGUGGAAGAAAUGCUGACGGAGAGGAAAGGGAAGAAGGAGAAGAAAAACGAACGAGAGAGAAAGAAGAGAGAAAGGUCAAUACAAAUAUUUUAGUCUUUGUCAGAAAUAAAGACCUAAUCUAUAAAAUCUUAAAAAAUAGGCUAUUUCUGUAAAAACACAAAACUAAUGAACUUUUUAUGCAAAUUGACCUAACUAUUUUGAUUUACUGAAUAUUUUACUUAAGUAAAUUACAAUUUUGGUUCUCAAACUAUAAGGCGCUUUGAUACUUUGAUCAUUAAACUUUAAUUUUUUAUAAUUUUUAGCUCAUAUUUUCUUAAUUGUUUCAAUGAAAUCUCACAAUUUAAUUUAAUCCGCUAAUAUUAAUUAAUAAAUUAUUGAAAAAAAUGACAUGAAAGUAUAAUGAUUGAUAAUGCUACCGCGUAUGUUAUAUCACUUCUGCAUCAAUAUUUAGUUAAUAUUUUGCCAACAAAAUUGAGUUGUAAAAUUUUAUUUCGAUAAUUUAUAAUUCAAACUAUAUUAUAAUAAAUUAAAAUUUGAAAAUCAAAAUGUCAGGCGCUUUAUAUUUUGAGCACCAAAAGUAUAAUUCAGCUUUUUUUGUUUUUUAUUUCUUAUUUUAGACUUUACUGCCAACUUAACUCUUUCCAGGUAGUAGUGGUGGAUCCAGCUAAUAUUUAGGCACUAAUACUUCUAUAACUGAUCUGAUUAGUUCCAAUUAAGAAUGUAUAAAUUCAAAAUUGGGUUACUUGGAAACUUCGAAUUGAUUGAUUAACACAUUUAACUACAUGAACUUGAUCCUGCCGAAUUUAUAAAUCUAUUGAUUCUCAAUCCAUUUUGACCCAUUAAACUGUUGACUCAAUCCGGCGUGUUAACCUAGUCGAUCGACCCGACCCGAUCCGACCCAAUCGUUCUAACCCAAAACAAAUAGGAUCAAAGCCGUAACUAUUCUGAACAUUUUUCAACCCGAAAUCACUACAACAGAAUUAGGUUAUAGGGACACAUAUUUGGGACACUUUUGAGUAAGUGUCCCAUUUAUUCUAAAACUUAAAAAAACAUCUACUAAUGCCUAAAUAUAAAGUCCAAUCCAACCAAAAAUAAAAGAUUACUCUACUUAACCCACCACACCCAGUCCAUUUGGCCCGAUUACAAACAAAAAAGAAAAAAAAAAGAAAAAUCAAUUACCAUCUUUUCUUCUCUCUUUACUCAAUCUACUGAAAUUCUAGACGAAGAGCCUUUUCUGUCGUCCUCUUCCGCCACCGCAGCCAACGAGAUCUAGUUUCAGCGGUUGCUAAAUGCUUAAAUGAGUGUAGGUAAAUUAGCAACACUUUUUUAGGUUAUAACGACACUCUUUAACUGUCACUAUAUACCUAGCGACCCCACAUAUAGCAACACUUUUUAAAAGUGUCGGUAAUUUUAGUUACAAGCACUUUUUUAACAUGUACCUAUAUUUAAAAGUGUCGCUAUAGACCGUUUUUGUUGUAGUGAAUCUUUAGCCUUAAAUCAUUAUGAUUAAAAGAGAAUGAUCCAAAACAGGGGCUAAACAUAAAUUCAUAACAAGAUUAUACAUGCUCGCGAAUUUACCAACAAAUAUAGGACUUAUUUGUAUAAAAAAUUCACGGGUUUUGCAGUUUUUACAAAAAUGGCCUAAAUACGGAGAAGAAUAAAUCACAUUUUUGGUCCUUAACUAUACACGUAAUACUUUAGGCCUCAAGCUUUAAUUUUUUAUGAUUUAUGAAUUGAAUUUUUUAAAUUGUUGCAAUCAAAUAUCACAACUCAAUGUUGUAAGUGGCCGCGCGAUGUAUAAAUAAUUUAGAAGUAUUGUGAUUGAUAAUGCAGUAAUAAUCAAAAUAUUAUAUUAUUUUUGUAUCAAUGAUAUUUAUUAAUAUUUUACUAACAGUCUCUAGUGCAAGUUGCAAAGAAUUUGGUAGUUGUGUUAAAUAUAAAAAAGUUUAAACACCGUUCUCAGCAGCUUAAGCUUUUAGAGUACAACGGUUGUUUUACAUAGUAUCAGAACAGGAGGUCCUGAGUUCGAGUCACGUCAAGCUCCUAGCAUAUUAAUUUCCUCCUAUUUAAUUCAAGCCCACGUCAUGGACCGACUAAAAAAUCUCGAGCCCAGACGUGAGGGGAGUGUUAAAUAUAAAAAUGUUUAAACACCAUUCUCUAACAGUUUAAGCUUUUAGAGUACAACGGUUGUUUUACAGGUUGAUAUCCGAGGGCCCAAAUUCGAAUCUUCAUUGAUUCACAUUUUCAGCUAAGUUUAUUUCAAAAAAAAAAAAAAUAAACGAAACGGGUAGCAUGCUAUUUUUACUAACUAAAAUAAGUCGUUGGACUUACUUGUAGUAAUUCAGAAAGUUCAAGUCAUAAAUUCUUAAAAAAUUAAUGUUUGAAUCUAAAGUAUCACGCGCCUUAUAAUUUGAGGCCAAAAGUGUUAUUUACCUAUAUAGAUAACCAAAUAAUCUAAAUUUAAUUUUUUAAUUUUAAUAAAAUUACACUUUUAGUGGUUAGAUACAUUUUAAAAUGAUUGAAAAUUCAACAUUUUCUGCCAAAAAGAAAAGAAAAGAAAAGUAUUGGUUACUGUACGUCGCUCGAGUCAAAUUUAAUGGGAUUUGGCCAAAAUUUUGACUAAACAAAACGAUUACAUAUACAAAUUGGUCACUUGCCCCGUCAACGUCAAGGUAUAUUAGUUUUCUUUUGUAACCUGCAUAUUUAUCGUUUAAUCACGAUCGUCCAUCAACGAAAUAAUUUAGAUGGUAAAAUGUAUGAUACCCCCCCAUCUAUAUUACGCUCUGAAAUAGGUUCAUGAACUAUUUUUAUAGGUUCCCCAUCUAUAUUACGCUCUGAAAUAGGUUCCUAAACUUCUAAACUAAACGUAUCGAGGUACUAAGAAGAAACUUUUUCUAGAAAGGAGGGAUAGAUGCAAAAGGAGGAGCAAAUUUGGUUGCGUGGAAGAAUGUGUGUAAGAGUCGAAAGAAUGGAGGAUUAGGGGUUAAGGACAUGACCACCAUGAAUGACGCCCUUCUCACAAAAUAGUGGUGGAGAUUGCUAACUGAGCAAGACCUCCUUUGGACCAAGUUUAUCAACGCGUUAUGUUAUUGUAGGAGGAAACCAUUGCAAGAAGGAAGGACAUUCAGACCUGCCUCACAAUGGUCGAAAAGCGUGGUUAGACUUAGGGAGGUUUUUAAAUGCGGAGUUAGCUAUAACCUAGGGGAUGGACGCUUAGUUGACUUCUGGUUACACAAAUGGUGUGGAGAAAUCUCACUACAGUCCCUAUUGCCUGAGCUUUUUAAUAAAGUGGAGCUCAAGGUGUGCAAUGUGAAAGAUUGUUUUUCUACCAACGGAUGGAGAUGGAGAAAAAUCUUGAAAGAAACUGAAUCAAAAAGUCAACGACUUGGACGGACAAUUCAGGAGUUUAGGGAGCUGCUCUCUAAUUUUCAUACUGUAUAUAGUCAGGAUGAUUUAUGCUGGCGGUGGAACAAGGGGCAAAGAUUUACAAUUAAGUCUGUAUAUGAAAUGCUUAAUGAUGGGGGAGUUAAAGAUGAUCUACUAGCUAAGAUAUGGAGAUUACGCAUACGAAUGAAAGUGAAGAUCUUCAUUUGGCUAGUGCUGAAGAAAAGAAUUCCCACUAUAGAUAAUUUAAAUAAAAGAUGGUGGACGGAGAAUCAAUUUUGUGUUCUGUGUGCAUGUGCGCAAGAAAUAGUGGAUCACCUAAUUUUGACAUGUGUGUUUAGUCGCUUUCUUAUGGCGUGCAUUUUUUAUGAGGCAAUGGAUGUCCAGUUUGGCGAUGAUGUUAGAGGCCUUUGGGAGAAGGAGAUGGAAAGAGGAAACGGUCAGGCAGCUAUAAAGAGGCAGUGCUCCCUGGCAGCAAUCUGGUGGGUGCUCUGGAGACAAAGAAACAAUAUUAUUUUCAGAAAUUUGAGCUCAGAUCCAUUGGAGGCUGCUAAAAUUUGCAAGGAGAUGGUGAAACAAUGGGCAGAGAAUUGCUGAUACUGAAUGCAAGUUACGAGGGGAUUGGUACUGCUGUGUAGAUUUUUCUUUUUUCUUUUUCUUUUUCUUUCUCUCUCUCUCUCUCUCUAUCUCUCUCUUUUUUUUUCUUUUUUUUUUCCUUUUUUUUUUUUGAGGCCUAGUAGCCUUACAUUUUGUAGCUAAGUUUAUUUUCGAAAUGAAUGAAACGGGUAGCGUGCUAUCUUUUUUUCAAAAAAAAAAAAAUUUGUAUAGAAUUAAAUAAUUUAAUUGGUUGCUAAUUCUAUCAUAUUUAAAAAUUUAAACUAUUUUAUAUUAAGGAAAGUAAGAUUAAUCAAAACAAUAUUAUCUAACUGAGGCAUAAAAUUUAACAAAAUUAUAAAUUUAAUUAAAUGUAAGAACUCACACGAAAAGAAUUAGAAAAUAAAAGGGUGAUAAACUGAUAAUACGAAAAAAUUAAAGUUGAUCAGUCCAUUUGAGAAUAAUCCAUAGUUGAGGGGUCUUCAUAAAGUUUUUACCGAAUUAGAGAUUCUUAUUUAAAUCUUUUUUAGUGUCAUAAUCACGUAUUAAUUAAAACUAAUAAUUACGAAUUAAAUAAGCCUCACCGUCGUAUAAAAGACCUCUCGUCUCCCUUUUCCGUUCUCUUUCCCCUUUCUCCGAUUCCCCUCGUCGACGAAGCGUCUUCACAAGGGAGGAGGAACCGGAAAGCGUUUUGAGGUAAUCCACCCGUUCCCCAUCCCUUCGAUCGGUUUCGAUCGCUCGAUCUCUCCUUUUGUGGUGUUUUGAUCAAUCUAGGGUUUGUUUUGCGUUGGAUCUAGGUGCUGUCGCGGCCAUGGCUUCGAAACGGAUUUUGAAGGAGUUGAAAGAUCUCCAAAAGGAUCCUCCCACUUCUUGUAGCGCAGGUAUUUUAUCAGAUUUUCUUCAUUUGUUUUGGAAAUUUUGUGUGCGAUUUGUUAAGGUUUAGAUCUAGAUUCGUGGUGUUUGGAUUCUCGUUUUCUUCCGUUGUAGAAUCAUAAGUAUAAUUUUUUCGGUUUGAAUCAGCUCGAAAGGAUGUAGAUGCUAAUUUUUUCCACGUAAAUUUGAUGUUUGUUCACAUUUAUUGUAGAUCCAUGGAAUUAGAUGUGAUCUCUUUUGUUUGAAUUAUAUAGAAGCUAAAUUUUAAAUCUUCUGGAUGUUCUUUUCCUAUGCGUUGAGGAAGAUAAUGAAUGUUAUAAGCUCGAUAAGCUUCUUGAAUAUUUUGUAGGAUUGCUUAAUUGAAGAUCAGAUCCUUUGUACUUGAUCUAGAUAUUUGAUGGUACUUUUGAGGGGGAAAAACAACUGCUUUCAAUAUAUGUAGAUCGUUAAUGGGGCAAACUUCUUGUAUCUAUGGUCACAAUUUUCAAUUUUUGUUACUGUAUGAUACAAAGAUUGAAAAGCUCUGAAAAUAUGAUUUGUGGUUUUUAUGUACUUAAAAUUGUUUUGAUCACGUUUGAAGGCAUUGAUCUUCAAUAUAGAUGUCCUAACAUGCAUAUUGAUUCGGAAGGAAUAGAAUUCAAAUCCUUUCAAGUAUAUUCUGCUCUACUAAGUUGGAUGAAGUUGAUGGUUGGGUCUGUUGAAGUUGCAGAUCUUUUGGCAGUAAUUUCAGUAAUGUAUACUUUUGAAAUUUUGAUGUGUGCCUUUUGCUUACUAUUUAUCGGAAUAGAUUUCUUUGUUUACCACUUACCAGUCUUCUGCUGAAUUAAGUGAAAUUUUCACUUAUUUUUACCAAAAGUAUGGUAAGAAUGUCUUGCUUCCAUCUUUUCUUUCGGUAAGCUUGUGUCAUCAUGUUUCCUUUUUGAUAUGUUGUACUGUGUUUUCAUGCAGCAUGUGUGAUGCAACAGUUUUGUAGCAAUACUCUAAUGAUGGGACUAUGCUGACAAUAUUGUAGCAGCAUUAUAGUAAAGCAUAUUACCCCUCUUAUCUCAAUGUAUUCAUGCUAUCCCUCCAAAGAGUUUAAUUGGAACCCAAAUAGAAGGCUUUUUGAUGUCCUCAGAUACAAUGUGAUGGCAGUGCCAAUUGAAAUCUGCAAUCUUAUUGUGGAAGCAACAAUCAAGUAUAUAUAUGCGUGCUGUCUUUUAUGUAGCUUAUGCCAUUUUUCUCUGUCUGCACAAUGUUACUGAAAAUAUAUCAUUGCCUACUAAUCUCUUUCUAUCAAAUAACUUGAAACUAAAACAUUCUAUUGGCCAGAAUCAGUGAGAAUCACGGGCCUACAUUAUGCAACAAUGCAUCUUUAAGCCAUAAAAGUAAUUCUAAACACUUACUGUGUCCUUUGGGACUUGUAAUGCCCUCUAUCAUGCUUUUCUAUUUUUUGGAACCAUCAAGCUUCUGUCACCAAAAAAAAAGGGGAUCCUUCAUGCAGUUAAAGCAGAUCUUGCUUCCGGGAUCUAGGCAUUUUUGCAUUUAGCAUUUUUCUUUCUUCACAUGUUGUUGUUAUUAUAAUUUGUUGGAAUUCACCUAUACAUAUUUCGUGUAAUUUUCUUUUGCAGAGUAAUAGGAUGAUAGAAGUGGUGCACUUGAAUGAAAACAACCAUUUUACAUAUAUCAAAUGGUAGCACUUUACAUAUAAAAAGGGUCUAGUAGGGGUGUGCACAUGUUAGGUUUUGGUCUCCCUAACAAGCCUCACCGACCCAACUUGACCAAAUAGCUGUAACAGCAUCAGUCUGUUUUGAUUUAGUUUGGGGUUUUACCGUUUGCUAAAGAAGUGAAGAGGCCCAUUAAAUUUAACAGAAUCUUUCUUUGGUAUUUUAAAGAAAAAACUCAAAUGAAAUGAUGAAAUAACUUGAAUCAAAGUAAGUAAAAUUUGAGGGAAUGUCAUGGAAAAAAAAGAAGUUAAUUCGGGACCUAUUUUAAAGUUGCUUUUAGUUGAUGGCAAGGAUCACUGUGCCACUAGCAUGGCACAACACAGUGGUAGGGGGCAUGCCAAUGUCGACACGUCCCCUGCCGGUGGCACGCCACUAGCACACUGGCACUCAUUGGAAUGAGUUUUUUUUAAUAAAUUUUUAUGAAAAAUUAGUUUGUUGGAGUGUCUUAAUAUCUUUAAAUGCUAUAAAAAUGGUUUAUGUAUUAUAUCUUACACAAUUAAGUAAGAAUUGAAUCAUAAUCAUCUUAAUAACUGAAGAAAUCAUUUAUAUAUGUUAUGAAUGUAUAUGCUUGAAGCCAAAACUAAAGUCAUAAUUGGACAAAAAUUAAUAGGGAAACACUUCCAUGGAUAAAAUCACUAGAUUUAAGCCUUUAACAUGAUGAAAGAAAUUUGAGGAAAUCUUUUUAUUUGUCUUUUUUCAUUUAAAGUUGGUCUUGUAAUGCAAUGGAACAUACUGAUUGCUCCAAAUGUUAGUACAUUUACAAGAUCUAUAUAUUUUUAAGUAUGGUUUUUUUUUUUUUUUUUUUUGGGUAAAGUGUUAUGUCAAAAGAGCUAAAAAAGAUCCCAAAAAAUGUUAAAAAAGCCAUUUUGUUGAUACAUUACCGACACGAUCCCGUGCCACAUGCCGCCAUUGUGUGGCACGGGCAGCACUAGGUGGCACUGGCUCCUUAGUUGAGGGACUUUCUGUAGCCACGCUUCUGUCAUUGUAAUGCUUAAAUAAAGAUGAAUACAGAUGUAAAUCUUCUUUGAAUUCAAGAAAUAUAGAUAUGUAAAAAAUUGGCAGGUAAUAAUUUGCAUAUACAUCAUCAUUUAGGCAAUAAGAUUGUCUUCUUUCAAUUUCCAUUGUGAACUUUCUUCUGAUUAGUUCCACCUUAAAUGGGAGCUCUUCUACAUUUUUUGACUCUAGAGCUUCAAUCUUGAAUAAUGACAAUGUGAAAUUUCCUUCACAACUCAGAUGAAGCACUUCCCUUUCUAUUUUGGAGUUCGGAGCCUUGACAAAAACUUGAAUCAUGAACAUCUGGAAUUUCUCUGGCAAUUUGGAAUCACAAUGUUGCCUGAUGUGGAUAUGAACUUUGUUAUUAUACUAUAGUUGUCCUUUUGUUUGUAUUAGUAAUCUGUAUAUUUUAGCUUUUGAUAGGCCCUGUGGCGGAAGAUAUGUUUCACUGGCAAGCAACUAUUAUGGGUCCUCCAGAUAGUCCUUAUGCAGGUGGCGUCUUUCUGGUUACAAUUCAUUUCCCCCCGGACUAUCCAUUCAAGCCCCCGAAGGUAUUGACAAAUUCAUACACUUCAUCUAUGCCAUUAUGCUUCUUUUCUCUGAAAGUUAUAUACUUUAUUCUGUGAAUGUUCAUUUUCCUAUUUUAAAACUGUAGAUGUACUGAAAUAUUUUCUUCAAUUUCUUCAGACUCGUUUUUGUGGUACCUGUCAACUGAAGAUGAAUAGGAGAAACCUGCAUACUCUAUUGAUUGGUUGCAUGUAGUGCAAUGCUUCUUGAUUUACUGUGGUAGUCUGUCUGUUAGAUUUCUGCUGAUAUCUGCUGAAUAUUUUGUGGUUGCUCUUCGUUCUUUCUGUGCUAUUGUCAAGUUUGAUCUUUGAUUUAUUAUUCGCAAUCUUUCUACUUUGGUUUCAUGGUAUUCUUGAUAAGCUAGAAUACCAAGAAGAAGAAUACCCACGUUGGUUUAGAUAGAUCAAGCAAGAGUAAUAGGCGGGGGAGUACCUGUCCAGAAAUGUUCAAAAGGGUGGCAAUGAAUUAUCUCUAAAAUAGAAGCCUUUGGCUCAAUAUAGGGUUAAAAGUGUCGAUUUUCUAUGAUCGAGCAUGUGAUUUCAUAUUUCAGAUUAUUUAGUAUACAUGAGUACUAUUAUGUAUGUGCACAAUUUUUCACUCUGGGAAAAAGUUUGGACAGAACAAAUGUUGGCCCAACUCCAGCCCAUAAUUUUUUUGGGUCCUGACAUUUGACUCAGCCCAACCCAAUGGGCAACAUGUAUGACAAAUCUCUUGUCCUAUUUCAGGUUGGCCUACAUGCCAAAGGGCCAGCCUGACCCAUUUGUCUCCCUAUAAAGAAUUGUCUAUUUGUUAGAAAGAUGAUCGCCGAUUUUAUUUCUCCAACUCUACUAUUGUUUCAUGUUCUCUAAUAAUUUGGAUUUGUUCAGAGCAGUUGGGCAUAGAAUUUAUUGAGAAUGUGUUUUUGAUCACUUUCUUUUUCAUUAUUAUCAAAUUUACUGGUUGUACUGUAGGCUUUAAUUAGUACAAUGAAAGUUACUCCUGUGAUACCUUAAAAAAAGGUUAAAAAAAAGGAAGAAGUCACCGCUCUUGUGAAGUAUGGAUGACUAUGCGAUACAGAAACAGCAGAAAGUUGUGUGGAUCUAACUCAUUUUAAACAAAUUUUAACUCUCGAGAUACUCGAAAAGGCUUAUAGACUAGAUAUUUUAGAGUUUAGACUUAAAUCAAACUGAUUUAUAGCUUGCUUAAUCAAAAUCCAGCCUGUUUUGAUUGGCCUUGAACCAACACUGGUCUUUUUCUAGCCAGUCUUGGUGCAGGAUUAUGUUUUUCAGAAGAAAAUUUGCAUAAUUUCCAUGAUAUAUUCUCGUGUUGUUCAAGUCUAUUCUGUAAACAAAAAUCAAAAAUAUGUUUUUGUGCUAUGAGUAUUAGUGCUGGAUAUUAUGUAAUGCUAACUAUUUAUAUGCUAUGCUUAUGAAUAAGCUCAAUUAAAGAUGUCAUUUCUGAGCAAAUUUGUUGGCUAUUAUGAAGGUGGCUUUCAAGACAAAGGUUUUCCAUCCAAAUAUUAACAGCAAUGGAAGUAUUUGCCUGGAUAUCUUAAAAGAGCAGUGGAGUCCAGCAUUAACGAUUUCCAAGGUGAUUGGUUUUCUUGCGCAUCUCUCCAUGUUCAUACUUACAUAUUUCUUGCACUUCUCUCCAUUAAGCAUAAACUCCAUUGUGAUUGGACAAGCUCAUCAUGCCAAUUGCAAUAGCUUGUAAAUUUCUGUAUUAUGCUCCAGUCCCUGCCUUUAUGGUUAGUUGGACCUGGAUUCCCUAUUCUUCCAGGAGGUUCAAAAUUGGUCCACCUUUCAGUUGGUACUGUAUGAUCCCUAAGCUAUGUAUUUGUUUGCAAUCUUUCCUUUAUAAAUUACUUCCUAUGUUGAAGUAAAUUGAGCUUCCCAUGUAAGUGCCAUAUGAGCAGUCCAUGAGUUGUUUGUGCUAGCCGUUAAAUGAUAGUAACAUCAAUUUUUCUAUCCAGUGUAGGAAUUUAAGCAGAGUGUAAGAUUGCAAUAAAACAGUUAGCCAGGGACCCAAUUGUAUUAAGGUUGGGGAUCAAACUUAUACAACUGCUUUUCAUAAAACUUUAAUUAGUGAACUUGGUCUUCCUGAACUCGAGAGGUGGCACUUUUCUGUGCCUUUUCCUCUGUAUCUUUCAUGAACAAUUCACUUGUUACUUAAUGGGCAUUUGGCUUGUCAAGCUAGUGUACAUCCCAAUCCUUGUAACUUGGAGUAUAUUUAUUCGAUUUGAUUCUAAGUUGUCACUCCUUUCAGGAUUAGUAAGGUGAAUUAGGCAACUAGCUGACAUACGCCCCCCGCCUUUUUUUUUUCCCCCCAAGUUCUUCGUUUCCUUUUCAAUGUAGAUAUAUCUCCACGUGACAAUACACAACCUGAUUCUCUAUAGCUGUUCUCACCCAUUCUUUUCCAAUGUCCAGGUACUUCUUUCGAUUUGUUCUUUACUAACGGACCCGAACCCAGAUGAUCCCUUGGUUCCGGAGAUUGCGCACAUGUACAAGACCGACAGGCACAAGUACGAGACCACCGCGAGGAGCUGGACCCAGAAAUACGCCAUGGGCUAAGCACUCAAAACUAGUUAAAUCGGAGAUCGUCGUGGGUGUCUCCGUAUCCAUGUCUUAAAACUUUGUGGUGCCCCUUCUGCUUCUCAGUCAAUAUUAUGUAUAAGUUCAACCAGUUAUAUUAUAACCAUAUUACUGUUCCAUUAAGGACCAAACAGGAAAUUCUAAAACUCAUUGCCGGUAUGGAUUGCUUGCAUUGGAAUUUGGUGUCUGGAACUUCGCUUCUCUGAUUCUCUGUGAUUGAGAAUUUUGGCUUAUUUUCACUUAAUUCCUAUACUAGUUGUUUUCAUUCAUUAUGCCUCUGCAUAAGGUCAGUCUACAAUUGUAGGUGUGGAAAACAUAGUAUAUAGUCAUUUCUAGGUACUUUUAUUUAUUUAUUUAUUUAUUUGAAGAUACAAAGGACGUAUAUAGUGGGAUUCAAACUUGGGACCUAAUGUCUGAAGAGGAAAAUAGGAAUAAGUUACUAAGGCUCUGUUUGGGGUUGCGAGCCUAGCACGGUCUGUGUGACUCGAAAGUAGUCUCUGUCUGUUUUUUAAGUAAUAAUAUGAUAAUAUGUUGAGGAGAUCUUGUUAAGUUCAGUUAUGAUCUUAUUUAUGAUGGUCCUAUUGAAAAUUGAGAAUAUUACAAUAUUUGGUAACACUUUUUCAGGUAGUGGACUCUAAGCAGUGGGGGUAUCGGAUAAAACUUCAGUUAUGAGCUUCCUAACGUUGCCUUGUUGGGAAGCUUUUUAUCCAUUGCCACAUGUUAUUUUUGCUUCUAUCUAGGGUUUUAUUGGAUAUUUUUUAAUACUAAAAUUCUUUUUAAAAAGAAAACUCCAACAAAAGGGGAUUAUAAUUUGUGGAUAGAGCCAAAACCGACAUGUGUUGGCGAAUUUAGGAUUUUAUAUUCUAUGCAACUCGCUUGCAGAUAACUAAUUUGGUACUAAUAAAUUUUAUGUUUUUUUCUUGAAAAGUGCUGGCAGCCAUGCAUUGAUAGAACGAUACACUUUAUCUACGAGAUGAAUUAUUUUACUCUCAAAAAAUACCUUGAAGGUUGAAUAUACUAUUCAAUUCAAAGUAUUUGGUCACGCUCAUAAUUUUCAAUUAUAAAACAAAUCUUCAUACUGAAUAACAUAUUCCAACGUUCAAAUAGGUUUGAAGUAUUUUGGCUUUUCAUGCAUGAAGGGUGGUGGGCAAGGGUAAAUUGAUGAGGAGCGACACCUUCAGAAUCUGAAACUUGGUUGUCUUUUGCUAUAUGUAUAUAUAUUACUAUAUUUGUUUGUUGACUUACUAUUUCUCCAACACCACCACCACCACCACCGCCACAACCACCAAUCAUGCCCAGCUGAAAAAGCCACCUCAACCACCACGCGCGCUGCUCCUUCUUAACUUUCCUUGCGCGCGCGCGCUCUCUCUCUCUCUCUCUCUCUCUCUCUCUCUCUCUCUCUCUUAUAUAUAUAUAGAAUUAGGCUGGAAUACUAUUAAUAGUAAAACGCUCUUUUUGCUAUCAAAUUUUUAAUUAUUGGAUGAAAAAUUAUAGGGUCGGAAUGAUAUUAGUCGGUUAGAGUUGAGUGGUCCCCCUAGGGUUGAGUGGUCCCCACUGGGUUAUAGUAUUUAAUCCCAAAAGAAGCUUUAGUGAAAUCCUAGGAUAUAUUAUUCAUACACUGGUGUCACUAAAAAUUUAAAUCUAUAUCCAUCAAAAGUCAUAAUUUUUCGCAACUCUUUUUAAUGUAACGAGGCAAAUUAUAGAUACUUUCAAUUGCUGAUUUAUUGUGAUUACUUGAUGCCUAGGUAAUAUAAUUCCAUAAUCAUAGUUCUUCAUAUAUAUAUAUAUAUAUAUAUAUAUAUAUAUAUAUAUAUAUAUAUAUAUAUAUAUAUAUAUAUAUAUAUAUAUAUAUAUACCUCUUAAACUAUUUAGAAGUUGUAGAUUACUUACUGCAAUAAUUUCUAUACGAAUAUGGGUUGUAAAUGUUAGUGAGGAAUUGUUUUGUUCCUUUUGAGAACACUCAGAGGAGGGUGGCCCACUAGCGGGGUAAUGGGCCUUUAGCAGGCUUUAUUCGAACAAUUGAUUCCCCUGAUCAAAUUGUUUGAUUUGCCACUCAAACUCAAAUGAUUGCAAUUGAUAUGAUACAUGGUACCACUCUACUGGACAAAUAUUUUGCCUAGACCAGAUGUUUCUUUUAUCCAGUUUUAAAGGAAAAAAAAAUAAUAAAAAAGAAAGCUACUAUUCUCUGAUAUAUUACUCAUUACGCACAAGCUCAAAGAUAACGGAAUCGAUCGGCUCCGAUACCAUGUUACUUAUUAGAAGAUUAAACAGGUAGGUUACUAUCGAGAAAUAUUCUUUAAAAUCCGCCAACUUUCCAUGCAAAUGAUUCUCGUAAGUUGUAACAUAUACAUAGUAUUUGGUAAUUAUUACUUAAUUUAACGAUUUUCUGCUUAUUACUUGACCAAAUACUUGAAGUAAUAACAUGGAUAUCUAUUGUUAGGUAUAAAAAUAGAGGGCAAAUAUUUUUUUCUCCUCUGAAAAAAAAUUUACUUCUCGGAAGUUACAUUUUCGAGAUUAGUUUGUUUCAUUGGUUAAAUCAUUUUAUCAGCCAAAAUGUAGGAGGUUCUUCGGUAAAUAUACUUUGUAUUUAAGGAGAUGCAGUUUAUUCUCCUUUUUUUUUAAAAAAAAAAAUUCAAAUGCUUUGGAGUAGAAUUAUGGUUGACUAAAACAGAUAUGCUACUUUCGAAACCGAUUGAUACAUGAAUGAUUUUGUUAAAUACUACUAUUAGUCUAAUUCAUAUUUUUAGGUAAAGCCAUAGUCAAACUGCAAUGUCAUUAAUCUAAUCAUUCAAACAAGGCUUAAUUAGUUCACUAAACAAUGUUAAACAUGAAAAUUUAGAAGCCUAAUUAUUCUCAAAAAGUGAUCAAACAACAAUUUUUUGGCAUAAGAACCUCUGCAAAUAUCUGGCAUUAUCAGACUCAAAUUUCAAAGUCAAAUGAAAUUAGAUAUUUUGGAAGUUGACUAUGAUUUUUGUGUACAUUUCCUAUUAAUUUGUGAGAUCUUAGUGCCUUAUUAGUGGUGCUCCAUGAUGUCUACUUUGGGUAAUGUCUACUAUCAAGUGGCCUUAUUAAUUGUUGGAACAUUGUAACUCUAGAUGUGCGUUUUGAGGACCACAAUGUGAUGAUGCAUGUAGAGAUGCAACACAAAAUGCCCUUCAAUUCAUUUAUUUACUAUGAAGGUGUAAUGAGUUGGAAGUAAUAGCACUAAAAGAGGAAUGAUGAUAUUAAGAGAUUCAUCGUAAUUAUUGUUGAUAGAUAAAUUCGUAAGGUCUAGUCACCUUUUACCAGAUGAAUUGAUUAGAUUCAAUGAAUUUGAUCAACUCGCAGAGAACGUAGAUAUGUUAUAAUGAACCAUUUUCCUUAAAUGUGCCAAUUAUAUAUAGAACGAUCAAAAUCAAUUAAUCUGGUCUAUUUGAUAAGAAUAUCCAGAAAUAGUAUUAAUACUUUUGCUCACGUACAUGGAGGAGACUACAUGAACUUCGAGAGUUGCCUCCAAUAGAAAAAUGGUAAUGAAAAAGAAUAUAUAGUAAUUACAUAAUCAAAUUAUGCAAAGAAUUAAACCUAAGACCUCUAUGAAACAAAGAGGGCUUAUGACCAGCUCUGAUAUCAUAUUAUCUAAAGUAUUAAUUUAAUAGAUAAUUUAAAUGAAUUUCAACAAGUGAAUAAUAGUAAGUAGAUUUGAUGAAUCUCUUCAACAAUAGUUAAAUUAACUCUAUUAUUAGCAACAUCGCUUCGUUUUGCUUAAAAGUCCACUCCAACUGGGGUGCUUGUGUGUGUAGCGAUACGAUGACGAUCGAAUCUUUUUCAACUCAGAUGUUAGCACUAAUUAGUGCAGUGAUCUUAAGUUCAACUCUAUUAUAUUGGCCAUGAUUCCCCUUUCUUAAAUGUCAUAGACAAUGUUUUAUAAAGAAUCUCAGAGAGGCUAAGACAUGGCUUAAUUAUUUGUUAGUCAAAACUGCCAAAAACUUCAUUUAUUAUCUUACCAAGCUUCAAUGUUCAAAUGAGUGGUUUAUGUACAUAAAGCCUAAAUUAAAUAAUAAAAGUUAAACACUUGUAGUUGACAAUAGAAAUAUAAUUGCUGCAAUCAAAUGGAUGUUUACUUUCACAUAAAUGGUUCGGUUCGAGUCAUUGUACUACAUAGUUUGUGAUUAUAUAUGUACUUUGCGAUUGGUUUUGUACUUUGCGAUAAUGUGCAAUUGCUUAAGUCUUAACUUUAAUCAAGGGGAAAAUUUGUUGUAAAUGAUAAUUGACUUGCAUGCUCUUUGCACACAAUCUUUCUUAAAAUUAAAUUUGUAAAUAUACCACAGCUAGACGAAUUUGUUGAUGCUGAUAUCUUGUAAUUAAUGGUGCAAGUGGUAGUGAUAGCGUAUAAGUUUGUCAUGCAUUUGUUGACCUUGAGGUCAGGACUUUAAACCUCUGUGUAACCUUAAAUUAGGAUUCGUGGCCCUGAGUUUUAGCCUCUGUGUACGCUUGAAUUUUGAGUGGUAUGUAUGAUGACGUGGUAGACCAGGUCGAGGUAAUAGUUUCCUGUGCUUUUGGAGUUAAGCACGUACUCUCUUUAGGAACCAAAUUGACUUUGCCAUCUCUACUGUAAGUUACAUUUCACAUUCAAUGUACCGAUCUGCUCCCCUAGAGAUAUUGGAAAGCAUAAGUUGGAAUGUAAGUAUUACGUACUUUGUUUUUGCUGUGAUAAUUUAGAUAUUAUGAAAUAUUCUAAAUUUUUGGCACUAAAUUUUUAACCCAUAAUUAAAGACAUAACAGUAUGAUAUUAAAUCAAUCCUGGGUGGUUUAAUCUUCACCUUUAAUAUUUAGUUUUAUUAGCUAAAUUUCCAAUACACUAUGCCCACUCUUGGGAAUAGAUAGAAGUAGCUAGAAUAUAAAAGGUGACAACUAAUGAACAACUACAUAUAAUAAUUAAGAUAAUUACACACAUCAUGAGGUGGUAGGGGUAACUCUUAUCUCCAAAAGAGCUAAUCGUUUCUACCCAAAUUCUACUCGUAUUUAUACGAAAAGUGGGCAUAGUAAUAUUAACACACAGAACCUAAAAUUAGAUAGUUGAUACAAUUAUGAAAAUAAUUUAGCGUACUUAAUUAUGCUCAAAAUGAUAAUUGUACAAAAGACCAAAAACAAAAUAGUAAAAAACUGACAUACCAAUGCAAAUACAAAAUUAUAAAAUUUCAUAAGUGGGCAAAGUAUUUUUCGUUCCUAGUUUUCUUAUGAGAGGAAAAAUUUAGAAGUUAUUUAAUUUUUUGAAUUAAAGAUAUACCAAAAAUUUAUAUAUACUUCUUUGAUGCACAAAUAGUAUUUCUCUUCCUACAAUAAGAGUAGGGAAAUUAAUGCAAUCAAAGCCGCAUGGAUGCACACCAUCCACAUGUGUGGAAGGGAAAGUUGACAACAACCCUGUCAACUGUUCUUCACAUGUCCUUCAUUAAUUGCUGCUGUUUAUGUGUUUCAAGUUUCAACGCCUUGCGCACAACCUAGCUAGCUAUAUUACGUUCCCUCCUGUGUAACAAUUAUUGUAGUAUGUACAUAUAAAUAUAUAUAAUUAUCUAUAGAUAAUAUCAAGCCCACAUGACUCAUUUUAAUCAGCACAGCUAUACUAAAUAUUAGAGUUCAGAGUGUAAGAUAUAUGCUCCAUGCUCUAAGUGAAAAAUUAAUGAUUAAGCCACCACAGUACCUUUUAAUAAAGGUUCAAACCAAUUAAUCGAAAAGCUUUUAAAUAAAUAAAUGGAAAAAUCAAUGACGAGGAUUUCAUUACACGUCGCAUGACAUGUGUUAAGUGUUGCAUAUAUUAACGUUGUAUGAAUUUGGUGCGAUAAAAGAUUCACACUAAUUGUGCUUGAAAAAAUCCAAUAUAUAGAAUCAUAUGAGAACCGGAUAAAAUCUGAUUGAAACGGGGCCACUAGAAAAAAACACUGGGACACAAAUAAGGUUGUGAAUAUCGUUCUGAUUCCACGUUAGAGGGUACGAAUCAACGUAACAAGCUUAGGCUGAGUAAGUGCAGGAAUUAAUUAUUAUUAUACAUUAUUUAUAGGUCUGGAAUAUUGUUUCUAACUCAAAUGUGAAACCAAUUAAUAUUGUUUAACAUCCUUUUUUUUUUUUUAUUUGCUCACUCACGCUAAAGAAGUUAUUUUUUAUCGAGUUCAUAGAAAAGCAGCUUUAUCUUCUUGAAGAUAAGCUGUUCUAAGUUGCAAAUGGAUGCAUUGUCCAGUUCUUUAAGUGAUCCUGCACUGUUCUAGAUUUGCCGAUUUAUUUUCUUGUACGCGGAUUGUCACUGCCUCACAAGUUGGUGAUGCAGUAAUGGUAGAUAUAUAGAUCGUGCAUGCAGUAUAAUAUUGCCUCUAGAAAGAAAUGUGUUAGAUGUUGAAUAAUACGCAUCGAGCAUGGAUAUGCAACAUGGAUAUGCAACAAGGGCGUUUAAAGUGUACAAGAUUAAUUAAGAUUGCAUUAAGUCCAACAAAACAACAUGUCUCCUGCAUGUACGUCCCUUGCACGAUUAACUUUUGUAAUACAAACUAAAUCUGACUAAUAUCUAGAUCAGCAUGAUCAUUGUGAUAUCGUGCGCGGAAAUAUUCCUUGCAAGCUUUUUUUAUCUUAACUUGUUUCUUCAUGGCUUGCAUUUUAGCAGCAACAUAGAUCAAGGCUCACCAUGCAUUCUCACAAAUCAUGAAUUUAGAGACUUAAAACUAAAGGUAUAUAUAUAUAUUGACACUGUAUAUCUAAAAUUGGUGUUAUCCUACAGUUAUGUGGUUGUUCUUUGCAAAUUGAGGUAUCAAUCUCUUCAAAAAUUGCUUCAUCUGUUUCCACAAUUAUGAGGCUUUCACUGAAGAUCAUGCAACUGCAAGAGAAAGUUUUUACAUAGUGGAUUAUCAUUAGGGACAUCAUGGAGGGAGGUAAGCUAGCUAGGAUGCGUCGUCAUUUCGAUUAUGUGAUGGUUGAUUAUCAUGGCCUACAGGGCACUUGCCUGAUUGAUCAUGUUAAUUAUGCAUUCAUGUCUAUGUGAAGGAAAAUGCACAGGUAAUCAUAAUGUUAGAGUUUGAAAAUAUUUUUCUUUUAUCGAGAUUUUUUGUAUUGUAAAAUAAAGGGCGAUACCCUGUGCAUUGUCAAACAUUUGGUAGUGUUAUGUUUUCCAUUUUUUUUUCCCUUCAACAUUUUGAGGUAUAUAUAAAGCAUACAAUACGAAUUUUCUUUGCUUUUGCUAUUCUUGUUUGUUUAUUUGUUUGUUUGCAUUGAGAAUGAAAAUAGCUUGUAAUUUUUCUUUGUAUGUUUUAUGCGAAAAAGAACUUCUCUUUGAAGGUGGAAAACUUUGUAUAGAAAGUAGAGAUGUCAACGGGUCGGAUUCGGAGCGAAUUUUUAAAAACCCGAACCCGAACCUGACUCCAAACCCGAGACCCGAACUUGACGGAUUUUAAAAAUCCAUAUCCAAACCCGAACCCGACCAAAAAUCCGAAAUCCGAACCCGAACCCGAAAAUUUGAACCUGAAACAAUUAUUUCUUUCUUCAAUAUUUCAAAAUAUAUUAUAUUAAAUCUAAAUUUUUAAAAUACAAAUUCAAAUAUAACAUCAAAUUUUUAUAUAUAAAUAUUAUAUAUAAUACAAAAUAAAUUCGGAUUCGGGUCGAGUUCGGGUCGGGUCAGGUACAAUCAAAAUCCAUAUCGGAAUCCAUAUCCAGCUGGUUUUUAACUAAGAGAGAGAGAGAGAGAGAGAGAGAGAGAGAGAGUUUUCAGCUUAAGUACAAUUAACCUCAAAAAUGUUGAGAAGAAAAGACCAAAUCAAUGCAAGAGACCCCCAAUAUAUCAUCAUUCUUUUCUUUUUAAUUUUAUAUAAAUGUAUAAUAUUUAAUUACAUGUAUAAUUAAAUUAGUUGUCUCCAAUAGGUUAACUUUACGUAAAGAUGGUAACUCGAUACAUGCUGUAAUCUUCGUGAUCAAUAUUAUCAAAUUGCUGAUGGUGACAUCUCAUUCAUUGUUCAAAUGAAUAAUGUAUCGAUGUAAAGUGAUAAUCAAAUAUAUAGUGUGAACCUCCAAAAAUGGUAAUUAGAUAGUUUGGACCUGUAGUUUAUAUGUCAUAUAUAUGGUUUAUUUUCUUAAGUAUAGGACCUAAGUCCCCUUCAAUUAAGGUGCUCUCACUUAACAGUCGAGUGUUACUAGAGAAGCUUACUAUGUGUUAAUUAAAGCUUUUACCUUUAGGGUCUCAAUUUGGUCUCCAUGUUAUUGGUGGACCAACUAGGAUUGCUAUGCAUGCAAACACAAAUUUUGAAUUAACAUGUAAAAUGCCAUGUUAUUGUUACCAAUCUACUAGUUUAGAUCACUAAUUACUAUACAUCUUAUUGCGUGGAAAUUAAUAACAGUGCUCAUAUAUAGAUAGAAGCAUUCAUGCUUUAUCAAAACCCACAAUUAAUUAAUUAGUUAUUUUAACAUUUGGUUGACUCGUGCACAGUUACUGGAUUAUGAAUUUUAAUACCGUAACUUUCCUAAUAAGGGGACCUAUGUCCUAUUUAACACAUUACAACCCUUUUCAACUGCGUAGGGUCAUCUCCCGUGUAUAAUAUAUAGCUUAAAUAGUAGUCACCAACCCACAUGCCUACACGAUCAAUAUAGUCAAAUCAAAUACUCCACACACAUUUAUUUAUAUCUUUAAACAUAUUCAUAUCCCUCUUCUUCUUAACCAUGUAAGGGUAGGGGAGUUGAGAAAAAAAAAUUAAGCCUGGUUCAGUAGAGGGGGUUCGUGCACACGAGUGGGCAACCUAAACCCUAAAGACCAGGUGGCCUAAAACCAUAAUAUAACGUGCUCUUUCUAUAUAUAUGUUUUCAUAAUAAAAUAAAAUAGUACACAUUCUAAUGUACAUAUAAUAACUAUAUUUUGUGGGUCACUGAGACUUUGGCAUGUAAUGGAGACAAGAACAGGAGCCACAAAGGUGAGGACCCCCCACUAAGGAUCCCAGUGGAUGAUGACGUGGCCAUUGUCUCGUGUACACGUGGGAGGGUCCCACGUGGUUAGCUGGGCUUUGUCUAGGGUUUGUACUUCUUUUGGUGUACUUGGAACAUGUAGAAGCACCUUUUAGAUGAUGGAUAAUAAUAAUACAAUAUUAAUGGCCACAAUUUUGCAUGUCUUCUGGGAAUUGUUUUGGACUUUUAUUCAUGAAUUAUUUUGGUGUUAGUAGUACUCUUGAUACUUGGAACUUGAGCUAUUUAAUACAAGCUUCUUUGCUUUAUAUGCAACUAAAGUUGCCAUGUAUAUAUUUUGGGCAAUUUUCUUUCAAAAAGUGGCAUCCAUAAAUAAUUAAUUAGUUGUUUUACUUCAAUUUUAUAUGUAGCCGUUUUAUUUAUUUUUGCAUUACUUUAUGAGAGUUGGCUCAAUGUUCAUUCCCAUUUCUAAGUGAUCUAUAAUAGUUAUUGUCCAUUAUUUUGUUAGAGUAGCAAAGUGACAUGCAUGCUAAUAGAAAUAAAUCUAUGAGUAGAAUAUAGAAAAGAAUGCUGAUGAUAGGUGUUGUUAUAUAAAUUUUGAACCUUUAUAAAUUCUAUUGGAAGAGUAGAAAUUAACUAUCACUUAAUUCUAUAUGCUUUAGUUCAUUUAUAUAUACUGUUAUACCAAUAAUUAAGUGACUUAUAUCAACCAUUAAAAUUUUAAAUUUGGAGGCACUUUGAUUGUCAAGUAGAAAAUGUGUACAAAUUUUUUUAGCUUUUAGAAACUCUAAAUAUUCUAUCUUAUAUUUAAUAAUAUGGAUUGCCGAUUCGAAUGCUUUAUUAUUAAAAAAUUAGAUUGCACAUGUAUAGGAUCUCACGAUUCAUACACACUAUACAAAAAUAAGAUCUUUUAGUCUCGCCAUCAUAAGCAUGGAACUUUAAAACUCAUUAAUUAACACAUAAUUAGUUAUUUUCCUAUGCUAUUUUAUUCAUCAUGUCACUACAAUCGACCUAGCUAGCAAGUAUGAUGAUUUGUGAUUUUUAACUUUGCAUCUGAUCAUCAUGGUCCCCUCUGGAUCCAAGUGAAAAUAUUUGAACUUGUAUAGACUAUAGAUACAAAGAUACAUUCAAUUGCGGAUUAUGGUUGCUAAUUUAUGUGAUUCAAUUCCGUAAUUAACAUUUAAAGGUAAUGGCGCUUGUGUCUCCUCAAUUAUCUUACAUAUAUACUCAUUGUGCCCUUAAACUAUAAGACAGAUUUUGCAUAUGCAUGGUGCAAAUUAAUUAACGUAUGAGAUUCACCUAAAAACUUGCAUGCAAUUUUCAACUUUUGAAUAAUUUUCGUGCAAUCUCAAAUAUUUAAACGUGUGUGUGUAUGCGCAAUUGGCUAAUAAUGGUUGGUAUUUAAGAUUCCAAGUUCGAAAUCUAAUUAUUUAAUAUUUAUCGCUAAUUUAUUUCUAAAAAAUCAAUGAAUCAGAUAAAUUGCUAUUUUUUUUUAAAAGAAAAAAAAGCUUCAUCAUAAAAUAUUAAAUAUAACAUGAAAAUAUCCAUCGUAGGGUACUUCUAGAGGUAUUCUAAUUUAAUUUCCAGUUGUGUCCUAAUGGGUGAUAACACAUGAUUUUUCCUUUUUUUUUUUUCUAAAAGAGGUGAUAAUUUACUUAAUUAAUUAUUUAUGCUCUCGCAUGUAAAUUUUAUGUAACGAUAUGCCACGUAGGACGAGUCGAACACUCGGUGAUGAACCGUGUGGUCAACGACAGAGUCGUAAGCGGAGGCGAACGGGGAGGGUAGACCCGACCGGACGCCACGUCACCGCCGCAUGCGCGCUGACCGGCGGUCGCACCGGCGAGCGGUUCGAACCGUUCGAGGGGCCGACACGUGUGCGGCGUGGACCGACAAUCGAGGGUCACACAUCGAAGUGUGGGGCCCACGUGGGCGCUCUUACCGAGGCGCGGCAAUUCGCCCACCUUCGUUUCCCGCGACACCGCUCGUACACGAACCGUUGCGGACUCUUCGCCUUUUUUUUUUUUCUUUUUUCUUUUUUUUCUUUUUAUUUUUACUUUAUUUUUAAAAGAAAAUAAAAUUGCCCCUGGACUCCGUAACCAUGCACCACAUUGGAUGCCACUGCACCCCCAACCCAAAAUAAUUAAUUACUAAUAUAUGAAAAAAAAUUUUUGAAAAAAUCAAAUUUUGCAAAUAUACGCAUAUGAGAUUUAAACUGCGACCAUUGAGAAGUCACUCAGAAUAAGAACCACUGUAUUAGACAGUAGUAUAGACACUUCUCAGGCACAACUAGUUGUUCAUCGAUAUCAUUAAUACUCUCGCUCUUGGAAGUGAAGUUUCAAAUUCGAACCUAGCUCAUUCACAAACCGAUGGAUCAAUGCAUUACAUCACUAAAAGAAAAUCUCAAUAUAAAGACGUUUUCUAUUAUAUCAAAUCAAUUUAUUAAAUAAUAAAUUUUAUUAUUAUUUUUAAUUUUUCGACAUUUUAAAGCGUGAAGACUUCAAAAAAUUCUCAAAAAUUCUGACGCUUUAAAAUAUUAGAAUAUAUUUUAAUAAUGUUUGGUAUAAGCGUCGAUAUAUAUGUGAUGAUUCUUCACGUACCAACACUUUUAAAUAUGACGUUAGACUAUAUUUAGACGCUUUUAUGCAUUAUUAAAUAUAAACAAGAAGCGUCCCUAAAUAUUAAUUUUCUUGUAAGCCGAGGAAAAAAAUAUUGAGGAAGUAUACAUGAGAGACCUCCUUAAUUAGCUGUAUGAAAAUCCUUGCAAACAAAACUGUUAAGUAUGAUUAUUUUUUAUUUGAUUAAAACUUUUUAAUAUUUUUAUUUUUUAGUUUUUAAAUAUUUCUCCAGAUUGAGUAAGAACUUGGUAAAAUAAAUUGCUUCACAAGUAAAUUGAUUUAGUAGAACUAUAUAUAUAUCAUUAGUGUAACCAGCAGAUUUUAAAGUUAAUUGCAGAAAUUAAAGUUAAUUGCAGAAAUUAAAUAACUUAAACAAAAAAGAAUAAAAAGUUGAGGCAGUGAUUUAUUAUAAAAUAAAUAGUUUUAAAAAGUCUAUUAAUUAUGCAUCACGCACAUUUUAGUCCUUUUAUAUAAAGUAUAUAUUUAUUUAUUUUAGCUUAGCUGAAACAGCAUUAAAAAGGUUAUUUGAUGACAAAGAGCUCAACUUUAAAGUAUAAAAGCGAGUUGCAAAGUAUGGAUAGUCCAAGGACUAAUUAUAUAACUUACCCAGAUAAAAUUAUACGCAAUUUCAUUGUAUACAUGAGAGUAAUACUCCUGGGGUUGAGUAAUCCCCACAGGGUACGUAAUAGUAAUAAUUCAAAGAUUAGAAAUGAUUAAAAGGGUUGAUCUAAGUGCCAAAAAAUCAAAAGCACCAAAUCUCCUAUGUUUUCGAUAGCAUAUUAGCCUUACUUGUAUAGAUUUGAGUGCACAUUAAUUAAGAUGAGACUACUACUAUGACAGUUAAUGUUUUUCUUUUUAAUCUCUUGGCGAGGGGCCCAAGUUGUACUGAAAAUAAUCAACAAAAACUCCAGUAGUAAAUUAAUUUAAGCUACGAAUAUUGACCAAUAGUAAUAUCCAUCAUUAAUGCAGUAAUCGCCAUCAUUAAUGCGGUCGAAGUUGCCUCAUGAUCUUCAUAGGUUUUGUUAAUAGUAAUAUAGUAACAAUUAUUAUGUACAGUGCCUGGUAUUAUCUUAUCAACUAUGAGAGUGAAUUGGAGUAUAAUAACUUCUCCGAUUUUGUCUACGGCAAUAGUAGUAAUUUUGGCAAAAUUUCAUUCGUGCGCCUCUGGCAAAUCAUCACUCACGUAAAGUUGUUUUUUUUUUAGAGAGAGAGAGAGAGAAAGGUAGUAAAGCUACCUUUUUUCAUUUAUUCCUUAGAAUUUUUUUUUNUCUCAUAUACGAACCAUAAAAUCUCUAGUCAACUACUGAUUAUCUCUAUCCAUGUGGCAAAGUAUUUGAUGGUUGGUACAUAUCGGAGGUCCUUUCUUAAUUAAAAAGGUUAUUUUUCUCUCAAACAGAGCGAGUAACGUGCCAUUUUUCUUAACAAGGAUAUUUUUCUCUCGAAACCUAAUUACGUUGUAUUUAUAACUAAAACGGAGUGGGUAACAAGCCAUUUUUCUCUCAAAUAAAAUCCUCCCCAACUACAUUAGGUACAGUGGUUGUAUUUUAAUAAACACCAAUGCAAUAUCAUGAAUUCCUCUCAAAGUAUGGCAAAAUUUCAUAAAUUAAUAUCUACCCCCUUUGAAAAGUAUUGAAAAGGAUAUUAUGAAGAUUUUUCACUUCAAGGGAUAUUUGUGAAUUUAAAAUUUUGAAUAGUGUGAACGAAACAUUUUGAGCUUUUUUGAGGUAAAUGUAAACGAAACUGUUCCUAUUGACCGUGGGAGAUAUAUAGUACACCCAAUCUAGUAAGUAGUAACUAGCUAGAUGCAUGUAUCCGAAUUUCUACAAUAACAUGCACUUUCAUGGCUAGGAAAUGUCCUUGUAAAAAUAUACGUGUAGAUAUAAAUGUAGUAGUCACGUCCUUGUAAAAAUAUACAUGUAGAUAUAAAUGUAGUAGUCCACUCCGAAAUUCCAAUAAUGUAGCUAAUAAAUAUUGUUACCGACCGUCCCUAGAGUAAGUGGCAAAGAAUUUGGUGGUUGGUGCCUGAAACUCAAAUUCGAUUCCUAGUUGAUUCACAUUUCUAGCUAAGUUUAUUUCUAAAUGAAAUAAACGAAGCGGCCGAGUAGCGUGCUAUCACUCUCUCUCAAAAAAAAAAAAAAAAUGCUCGCAAUAGACUUUGGGUGGCUUACAAUCCGAGCCCGUGCAAUUAUUUCAAAGUCAAAUAUACUUAGUAAAUUAAGAAAUAUUUCUUAAUUUGCAACAAGUUAACAUUUGAUUUUAAAUGCUUAUGCUUUCUAUUAAAUAUAUUGUUUCAUUCUUUAUUAAUUUCGCGUCAAAAAUACUGGGUGCCAUUUGUAAUCAACACAUUGUUUAAUAUUAUUAAGUUGAAAAGUUGAACAAGCAAUUACACUAGUAAAUUAAGGUGAUAUCUAACUAAUAAAUUGCCAAAGAUUUGAUCGACCAACCAUCGCUGUAACAUUACCAUAUUGUCUCCAGUUUUAAUGGAAGGAACAUUUGUUAGGAUUUCCAUAUAUUGUGGCCCAAUUAAUUAUAUUCAAAUCUGGAUUUCUAUAGAUAAAGGUCAAUCCUAACAGACAUAGAACUACUUGAUAUGGUAUAUUUUAUCCCUAUCCCAUCUAUUUUAAAUUUGAAUAGAAUCCUAAUCAGACUUUGAUGGGAAGUCGAUCUGGACUCUAUAUAAAGGGGUAUUGGUCCUGCCACCUUCUCAUACGCAUUCUGGUGAAGAAUUACCAUCGGUUCCACACCAUACGGCAGAAUGCCUGAGAUAGGGGGAGAAACCAAAUCACCCAAGUUCGGUUCGUGACUUUCAGAUCGUAGCCGGACUUUCAGCUUCCGCAAGAUUAAUCAAGAAUCACUUCUCUAUGGCGCUCUGUGAGUUAUCUUAUAUUCUUGUUUUGAUCCUGGAUUUUUGGUAUGUAUUUAUUUUCUAUUUAUUUUACAUACCGUGAUUUUCCAUCAACAUUCACUCAAAAAUAAUAUUGUCUCUUUUAAUUAAUUACCACAAUGCUUGAAUCUUGCUUGUCUACCACGUAGUGUACAAGAUGCAUCUUACUAUGAUUUGUGUCCGCAAUUUCUUCAACAGUAGUAGUCUCUUUUGUACUACUUUAAACUUAUCUUCAUUCGAUUAAACAUAAUUAUCAUUAACAACAUGUUCAGUUGAAUUACAUUAAUUAGAAGAAUAAAAUCAAGGAAAAUCAACGUGAUCUCAAUGCAUGAAUACAAGUAAUCUUAUCCCUUGAGCUUGCACAUGAAUAGCACAUGCCAAAGUCGUUGAUAUUUAAUUUGCAGGUAAAUUGCACCACUGUCCCUCAAAUUAUUGGAUGGGUCGUACAUACGUGCUUUAUCUUCGUGUCAUUAUAUUUCUUUGGUCUAACUUAUCUUCAUAUCAUCUAAUCUUUUAUGUUUAUGCUAUUCAAUAAAAAAAAGGGGUAGAAUUUAAUUACAACCAACUUAAGUAAGAAUUCAAGUAUUAUGUGUAAUAAAUUGAAAUUGAAACACUAAAGUAUGAUAUGUAUAUCAGUUAGUGGACCAUUGGUUGUAUUUUACGUCUUGUGAGCUAUGAAUUAGUAUUAACUAAUCAGCACGGGAACCGAUCGUACCUAGCGUAGUUGGCCAAAAAUUUGAUGGUUGGUACCUGAAGUCGAAAGUUCGUAGCCUAGUUGCUGACAUUUCUAACUUAGUUUCUUUCUUAAAAAUUUAAUAAAAGCAAACAGCUUGGUAUGUUUCACAGUAAAAAACAAAAAAAAAAUCAGCUCAAGAGAGGCAGUGGAAAAUUCAGACUUUUUUGUCAAUACAUUUACCGAUAAUAUUUUAUGAAAAUUGCUAAGUUGGUAAGCCAAAUAGAAUUAUAGGAUCCAAGAGUUUUAUAUUCUCUUCCUAGAAUCUAAACAAUUCUUAGAUUUUUUUUUUGUAUUCCAAAAAUAAGAGUAUAAAUAUAAAUAUUAAAGUUUUUAGCCUUUAUGUGAACAUGUUGUAAUAUUAGCAUUGCUCAUGUUUUAUAUAAGCAUUAUUAUUAUUAUUAUUUUUGAAUGGAAUUAAGCGUAAAUAUCCAAAGGGCUGCACAUGUAGAAGGAUAGAAAAGGUAAACGUGGAGAGAAAUGGCACAUAAUUAUUAAUUUUUUAAAAAAUGGGGAAUUGUUUUUGGGAAUAUUUUAUUUCAUAAAUACACAUUAAUAGAUGUCGGGCUCGUGGGUCCGAGGAUCGAAGCCGAAGGUAAUUUGGAACCACAUGACGGGCCCGACUUUGCCCGCACGUGAACCGAGGUUGACCACUUUUGCAUGUGUGGCUCUCGCACACGAUUCUGUCGUUGUAUAACUUUUUUUAAAAGAAUUUUAGGCAGUGUUUUAUUAUUAGGGAAUAAAAUUGCACAUAUCUAUUUUUGCACAUAUCUAUCAUUUGGAAAAUUGAAUAGCUAUCAUAAGAAAGUGAUAUUGAGAGAUUCGAUUUUGAUAGGGAUAUAAUUAGAUUCAAUAAAUCUGAUCAAAUUCAUUGGGCUGAGCAAAUUUNGAUUCAUUCUUAGUGCACUUUAUUUUGAAUUCUUUGCCAUCUGAAUACGGACCAUUUCAGAUCUCUUAUAAUACACAUAAAGAUAAAUGGUCAAUUAAUGAACUGCUGACCAUGUGUGUGCAAGAGGAAGGCAGAUUAAUACAAGAGAAACAAAAUGCAGUCAACUUUGUUUCUCAUAAGAGACAAAUAAAGCAUGCUAAGAAUGGCAAGGGUAAGAAUGACUCAAAAAGGAAGAAUAAGAAAAUUUCAUCUGGUUCACAAGACCAAUCAAGUAAGUGGAUUCCCAAGUGCUUCUUUUGUAAGAAAAAGGGUCAUAUGAAGAAAGACUGUCAAAAGUAUCAGAAAUGGCUCCAGAAGAAAGGUAAGUUUCUGGUUUUAAUGCAUGAGCUGCAUUUAGUUUCAGUUCCGUCUAAUACUUGGUGGAUUGACUCUCGUGCUACAUGCCACGUGGCGAAUUCCGUGCAGGGAUUUCAGAAUCGGAGAAAACCCCGUAAAGAUGAAGCAACUAUCUAUACAGCUGAAGGAAAUCCAACUAAAGUAGAAUUUGUAGGAACAUUUAGAUUAGUUCUUUCUACUGGUCACCUUUUGGAUUUAGUUGAUACAUUUUAUGUUCCAAAUUUUUCUAAGAAUUUAAUUUCUGUUUCGAAACUUGUUGGACUGGGAUAUAGUUUCAGUUUUAAUAAUAAAGUUUUUUCUUUAUUUUAUAAAUCUCAGAUAGUUGGCUCUUUUUUUUUUUUUUUUUUUUUUUUUUUUUGUCAAUACCAACAUCAGAUUAGUUAAUAGCAUUGCCACUAGUGAAAGUUACACUGUAUCUAUUAUUCUUUACAAUCCAGAUUUGCAUAUACAAGUUACGCCUACUAAAAUGGCAAUUUUAGACCCUAACCAAAUUCAAUAUAUCAAUAUUUAUCAAUAAUAAUUUUAAAUUAAUCUGUUAAUAUUGCUGCCUUUUUUAACAUGCUUAGAAACUUCAUAUACCGUUCCAUAGCCACAAACAACGACACAUAGUGGGAGAGUUAUUGGAUUAGUUUACAUUUUUUGUUUCUUUCCUUUCUUUUUUUUUGCCCCUUCUCAAAACAACAAUAUAAUUAAUCUUGUUAAUCUAUUGGAGUAUUUAGUAUUUACGGUCUUUAAUUGUGACUCUUGGGGAUUCAUUAUAGACAUGUGGAUUCAAUCCAUUCGAUGUGCAUGGGUGGCAUCCAUAGCUAAGUUAAUAUGCAUGUCUCAAUACAAAUUAAUAACUAAUUAUUAUAAUUUUUAGCUUCUUAAGAAACAAAAGGGACGCAUCAAUCUCAAAAACCAAUCACGUUACGUACCCUUGUUAUUGCUAUUUAGGUUUUUUGAAUUACACCACGCAAGUCUAAUCUCUAGGUGUUAUCUGUAUUAAUUAGGUGCCUAUGAUUGGCACAAAAAAUAUAGUAGCUAAAUUAUGAUCACAUUGAGAACCUCAAGAAUCGGUGUACGUAGUUCACCCCUAUUAGUUUAUUGGAACCAAAAGAAGCCGCAUUUAAUGUGCCUACUAUAUAUUUAUUUAUUACAUAGAGUGUUACAACUUACCGAGUUCAUUUAACAUACAAGUCCACUAUGGUUGGAUGCUUGAUGUGGCGCGUUCAUACAAUGUUUUCCUAAAGAAAUUACAUUAACCUACAUCCACUCCUUCAGAUGAUGAUUAAAAAACAACAAGAUAUAUUGGUUUGCUGGAAAUAAAUUUACUCUUUUGUGUUGGAAAUAGUAAUUCAAACUUAGUUGGAAUUUAAUUUGAGAUUUAUUUAAAUAGUUUUGCCGAGAUACUUAGUUUAGAUUGAGUUUUGUCUAAUUAUUAGCAAAAAAGUUUAUAAAUCCAUAGCACGAUAGCUAGGGUUUGUCCAUAUCUACGAGGACUUCAUAUAUAGCUAUAUAUACAGAAUAAAAUAUUAGUUCAAUUAUUGACCGUCUCUGAAGCAAGUGGAAAAGAUUGAGCUUGGUAGUUGGUACCCGAUAUACCAAGUUUGAAUCCUAGUUGAUUCACAUUUCCAACUAAAUUUAUUUUUAAAUGAAAUAAACGAGCCCGUUGUCAUCCCCUUUUUUUUUAUGAUAGAGCUUUCAAAUUGACGACUGGUACCGUUGAACAUGAUCUAUACCAUUUGAAGUAUUUAAAAAUCAAAUUUUUUUCGACAUCAUUAACCUAAUGAUCAAAGGGUUUGAAAAGUUAUAAUCUUGAUGGCCGAGACAUUUUUUCGUUUAACACUGUAAAAAUAUCCAAAUUAAUUGAAUCUUUGUUAGAAGAUAUGAGGCGUAGUUUAGUUAUUGACCGCCUCUGGAGCAAGUGGCAAAUGGCUUGGUAGUUGGUACCCGAUAUCCCAAGUUCGAAUCCUAGUUGAUUCACAUUUCCGAUGUCCCAAGUUCGAAUCCUAGUUGAUUCACAUUUCCAGCUAAAUUUAUUUCUAAAUGAAAUAAACGGACCUGUUGUCAUCCUUCUUUUUUUUUUACGAAAAACUUCAAAAACCCCCCCUGUGGUUUCGUAGUUUUUCACUUUGUCCCACUGUUGUUUAAAAUGUAUCAAUUUGCCCCCCUAUGGUUUCUUUUUUCUCUUUUUCUUCUCAAUUUCAUUAUUUUUUUUCUUAAAUCAGUGAUAAAGUUAAUUUAAAGGGUACUAAAGUGAAUAUUUGAUAAAUCUAGAUGGGUAUCUCAAGUUUUUUGUAUAUAAUUUAAUGAAAUAUUAACGAAAAAGCUACCGAAAAGAUAAAAACGAAACCACAGGGGGGCAAUUUGAUACAUUUUAAACCAUGGGGGGUAAAGUGAGAAACUACGAAACCACAGGGGGUUUUCUGAAGUUUUUCCCCUUUUUAUGAUAGAGCUUUCAAAUUGACGACCGGUACCGUUGAACAUGAUCUAUACCACUUGAAGUAUUUAAAAAUCAAAUUUUAAAGUUUUACGACAUCAUUAACUUAAUGAUCAAAGGGUUUCAAAAGUUAUAAUCUUAAUGGCCGAUAUGAGAUAUUUUUUCGUUUAAUAGUGUAAAAAUAUCCAAAUCAAUUAAAUCUUGGUUAUAAGAUAUGAGGCGUUUUCUUGUUUAACGGUGUUAAAAUAUCCAAAUCAAUUGAAUCUUGGUUAAAAAAUUCUUUAAACUAUUUAGAAUAAGAUCUAUACUCUCGAUCUUAAUUAUAAGAAUUCUAUCAUUAUUUUUUAAAAGAUAUCCAUUUUCAGCCGUUCAUUUUGUGUCCACCUGAUGGACAAGAGAACAAUAUUUGAAAAGCAUGAAAUUUAAUUUCUAAAUACUUCAAGUGGUAUAGAUCAUAUUCAACGAUGCCGAUUGUCGAUUUGGAGUCUCCAUUAUCGAAAAUAAAUGAAUAACAACAAAGCCUGUUUGCUACCGAUAGCAUUGCACCUCAACUCUCUCUCUCUAUAUAUUUAUAUAUUCAUGCAAAAUGGCCAACAUAAAUUAAAUACUUCGCACUCUUGUGCAUGUACAGUACUUAAUUGCAUCAUAUCACAAGUAGCCAAGCACUAAGGGACUGUGAUCACCCUCUUGUGUUUCAUUAAUUAAGUUGCAAUAUAAUUAACCACACCUAUCCAAAUAGGUAGCCUAAGUUGAGCCUAGCCACAUGACACUCAUGCACACGUGUUCGUACUGUUCUUUUAAUUUGAACUAAUCCAACAGAACGUACCGAGAUUCAUGCAUUGGCCACAAACUCUCUCCACAGUAACAUAAAACUGUUACUGUGGAGAGAGAGAGAGAGAGAGAGAGAGAGUUUGAUUUUGUUUUAUAAUUAAAGAAGAACAUCUAGGGCUCGAUGCUAUAUUGACCUCUUCUUAAUUGAACACUUAGAGACACGCAAGGAAGAGUUUUCUAUACAUGGCCCCAGCCAAUUAACAGAAAAAUAUUCGAAAUAUAAAUAAGCCAAAGUAAGGGUUGGCCACAAGAGCCACGAAAUUAUUGUCGGGACGCGGCGUAUCUGUACAUUUCAUUUGCUGUUUUAAAAUCAAAAUCUAAUCCAAAGGGUACAACUUAAAAGAAUCUGAAGAGUCUAUGCAUUAAAAAUCACAAUGUUUGAAAUCUAUUACUUAGACAUUAAACCAAUUAAUAGUACCAAAAAUCAACGGAGUACAAAGAAAAAGAAUACAUUUUUUUUGUCACAAAAAAGAAAAAAUCAGUAUCUCAAAAUUUAUAACUCUAAAUAUUUAGAACUUUCAAAUAUAAUAUAAUAGAAUACAUGAAAUUGGAAUUUUGAUCUCUUUAUAGUAGAGUUAUAUAUAUAUAUAUAUAUAUAUAUAUAGAAAACGAGCUAAGUAAUAUAAAUUAUAAAACUAUUUGUCACAGGAGCCAGAAAACAUGGUCGUGUUGUGUGGGGCUCGACUCGACCAAUCCCCACCCGAGUUUGUCGAAUUUGGUGAUUUUCUCGAUUUGUCCGUUUUAGAUGGUCUUAUAUAUGCGUUCGCUGCGCCUCGGCAUCUCCAGAAUAUUUUUGGCGUUAUUAGGGGCUCUCUUUUCUAAUUAUUUGCCACUUAAUUAUAUUUAAAUAUAUAGAUAUUUAUGUGUGUGUGACAUGCAUCUAUAUUAGUGUGUGUGUGUGUGUAUAUAUAUAUAUAUAUAGCAAAUUAAUUCUCCGGGCCCUAUCAUGUACACACUAGCCUCGCGAGUGUUAUGAUUGAUAAGGUCUACAGCUCGCACUCACACCAUAAAUAGAUAUAAGUAGAAUCUAAGCUAAGUAAUUAGCUCCCUCUAUAUGAUUUGCAUAAAUCACGUGAUAACAUUAAUUUUGUUCUUCAGAUUCUACUCUUAUCGAUCUAACCGAUGAAAAAUGAAAAUAUAUUUACAUCAUUACUAGCUCCUUUUUAUUAGCAGAGUUCAAGAUAAGAACUUUCCGAGCAAUCGCCUAAUUCACUAUCCCAAAGUGCUUUGCAAAUCCCUAAUCCGUUAACUAAUAACGCACUACAAAGUGUGAAAGAAAAAGAUAAGAUAAGAUAAUAGAUGAACGGCCACGCCGUACGCCAUAUUCUAAUGUAAAUGCUAUAUAUUGCUUCAUUUUGUUAUGAGUUCAUUGACAUGGGUUAGUAGUGCGUGCAUGUUUUUCUAGUACUUUUGUCAAUGCUCUAAUAUUAAUGCAUGGUCCAUUUUAGCAAACACCAAAUCGUGUUUUGAGAAUCCGUGAAUUGGGUUAAAAACAAAACAAAAAAAAUAAAUUAAAAAAACAAAACAGGAACAAAAUAUUCUUUCCAGGAUGAGCUCAAUCCAAUCAUGGGGUGCAAAAUUAUUAACUUUGAAUGAGUUCACAGGCUCACGAGCUACUUUGAGUUUGUGUUGCUUAUAGAUCCCAAUUGUCUUAAUUAUUACAUGAUUUUUAACUUAUUGUAAUUAAGUAGGGAUCAGAGUGCGACAAGAGAGAGAUCUCAAUCACGCAUGCGUCCUCUUUGUUUUGGUCAAUACCACAUUAUGCUCAUUAACCAAGCUUACUAGCCAUUCCUCGAUCUACUUUCCUAAACAAGACUAAUCCUCUCUUCGGGAUUAUGGAAAGAUUGUGUUACGCGCAGUAAAAUAAUAAGUUAGAAAAAUAUAUCCGAUUUAUUUUAGCAAAGAAUAUGCAGUUAACUGUCAUUCUAUCGUAAAACGGAGAACUAUACCUCUACGUGCUUUCCCCCAAACUCCCUUUUGUCCAAUAAUAUCAUAUGGACCUCAAUACCAAAAGAAUUCUAACUCAAAUGAAAGAUGAACUAGAAAUAAAAUUGAAACUCAAUUUUAGCCCCUCAUCACUUUUGAAAUAAAAAAGACCAGUAAAUAAUGACAUAACUAGUGGAAUAAAGUCCAGCAUUCAUUUUGGGUUCAAGUCACGCUUCAAUCAUAAAGUUAUGCGUCAUGCAUGCUUGCAUGGAAGUUUCUUGUUAAAAGAUAAAAUUUUUUUUAAAGUAUCUUAUUUUUUAAAAUUAUGAUCUAUUUUGACCCAACUGCAUGUCUAAGGUAUCUUUGAUUUAAACUAUUUGAAGACAAUUUUGCCAUAAACUCUGUGCGCAAAUGUGCGACAUUUUCUAAUCAAACAUAUAUAAGAAGGUAUAUCCAAGCUCUGAAGUAAUUAAAUACAACAACCACCAAAUAAACUCAAAUUAAGCGAAGUAAAACAUUAGAUAAACCGACCGUCCCUAAAGCAAAUGGCAAAGAGCUUGGCGGUUGGUACCCGAGACUCAAGUUCGAAUCCUAGUUGAUUCACAUAUCCAGCUAAGUUUAUUUCAAAAUGAAAUAAACGAACCGGGUAGCGUGCUACCUAUCUCUCUCUCAAAAAAAAAAAAACAUUAGAUAGCUUAUUGAUCAAUACCUUUUAAGUAUCAAUCAGAUCAAAACAUAUCAUAGUUACAGCAAAUUCCAUAAAAGUUUUCCCCAAAAUUUUUUUAAAAAAAAACAAAAACACUUGGGACGAGGGAGAGGAAACAAAAAAGACGAAUCUUACACAGAAGAGGCCAACCAAUGAGGGGGUGGACAAGUGGGGUCCGUGUGAUACGGGGAGAAUAAGAAAACGAUGGGGGUAAUGUGUGUGUAUACGUUUGUAGUUAGGAGUCGGCUAAAGCUUUGUUGCAUGCGUCGUUUGAAGCGACACAAACACACACAUCUGUAUACAUAUAUACGUAUAUUAUACAUAUAAUAUAAUGUGGGGAAUGUUUUUAUUUUCCACUUCAAAUGCACAGUCAAAAAAACGACGGAUCUUGUCCACUUGUUCGUUGGGCCCAUUCCACCACUCUGGCCCAGGCCCGCUCUCUUAGGCGGCCGAAUUUAAUACCCUUAAAUUAAGGGGGUUUUUUAUUGCAUGUUAGUCCUUGGAAACUUAGUUUUUUACAUAUUGGCAUUAUUUGGGUGUGGGAAUUAGGGGAUGUUUAGUUUCUCGGACGAGCAAUGUCUUGGGAUGUCAACGGGUCGGGUUAGGAUCGGAUUUUUAAAAAUCCGAACCCGAACCCGAAAACCAAAUUAAAAUCCGUACCCAGACCAGAACCCGGCGGGUUUUAAAAAAUCGUAUCCAUAUCCGUACCAAACCAAAAAUUCGAAACCCGAACCCGGACCCAAGCCCGGCGGGUUUUAAAAAUCCAUAUCAUUGAAUGAAGAUCUAAGAGAUAAAAAUUAUUAAACAUUUUAUAUAUUAUAUAAAUAAAUAAAAAUAAAUUUAUGUAUAUAUAUAAUUUAUUCGGGUUCGGGUCGGGUUCGGGUUCGGGUUGGAUAAAUACAAAAUCCAUAUCCAUAUCUAUAUCCGUCGGGUUUUUAUUUUCUAUACCCAUAACCGAAUCCAUACCCGUUUAGCUCGGGUAAACCCGCCUCAUUCGGGUUCGGAUAAUAUUUCGGGUAUCCAUACCCAUUGACAUCCCUAGCAAUGUCAACUCGUAUGCCAAAAAAAGGCUGUAUAUUUUACAUCUUCAUAUCCAAAGGCUCAUAGUGAAUCAUUGUGUUGUCAAAAUUAAUUAUUGUUAAUUUUAAAUACUAAAAAUUUAAAUUAUUUUAGAAUUCUAUCUAGGAUGAACGGGUGUGAGAUUUACACUCUCUUUUUGGUUAUACUAGUAGCAUUUAUCUUCUCAAACAAAAUAUUUAAAACUAUCUUUUACGAGAAAAAAAUUUCAGGAAAAACAUCAUUUAUCGCAAAUUUUGUUUUUUAAAUAAAAAAUUUAAAUUAGAAGACACUACCUUUUCAUGAAAUUUAUAAGAAACUUUUUUAGAAAAAAAUGAUUUUUCUAGGAACCAAACGGCCGGAAAAUACUUUUUUGGGAAACCAUACAUGCCCUAAGUUAUCUAGUAAUAACUUGCUUUUAUGAAGAUUCUAUUUUGUGUAAGAAACUAGAUGUUUGAUUUUUACUCCUUAAUUAGAAAAUCUUAGUAUCGAUGAUUCAAUAGAAUAGACGCAUAUUUUGGCUACAAAGUUAUUUAUCUUAUUUCGAGAAAAUAACGCAAGAGUUGCGGUAAGAAAUUUUAGACAUUUGAUCGCAGUUUCAUUUGUCAAAUUCAAAAACUUUUUGUGUACGUAAAGCAAUGAGUUAUGCUGAUCGAACAAGAUAUUUAUGCAUCAAAACAACAUCAUAACUUUGUCGGAACUCGAAAUUUGUGUUGUACAUUUGUUGCCUAUUUGUUUUAUUCCCUUUAAGCUAAAUUUAUAAAACAGAAAAAAAGUAACUUUAAAACCAAUAGAGCCCUAUUGACUUAUUAGGGGAGGAACUAUUCAAUUAAUAAAACAAAUUUUGAAGGACCCUUAUAUAAAUACCAAGUUCUAAUUGUGCAACUUGUAUGUAUACAUGCAAAUAUCUAAAUAUGCUGGGGACUAUAAUCUUAAAAACUUUUAGUUGCAUAAGUUACUGAAAUAACGACACCAAAUGGUCCAAAUCUAGUAAUGUAUUUAACAUUCAUAUAUUAGUUUUUAAAGGCUCAUUUAUUCUAAUUAAUAAGGUGGAAUUAUUGUUUAAAUGUGGUCAUAAGACCAGUCCACUCGAAGUGCAUGGCAUACGCUUUAAAUGGCUAUAGAAAAAUAGCAAAAAUAUAAUCCUAAAAGGCUUAUUUGUCGCUUCAUGCGUUUAUAUAAAGAUUCUAAAUAAAUUAGUAGUUUUCGUAUGGUUUUACUGUAAAUUUACAUACUAAAGUUUGAUCUUCAUUUUUAUUUCCAUUCUUGUUGUUUAUAUGUUACAGUAUAGCUUUGAUUAAAUCCUUUUUGUAUGUAUCAUUAAAUCUCUAUGUUAAGUAUCAUUCUUAGAGUUUAAUUGUGAGGACAAAAAAUAAAGUUCGGUUCUUAAAUUGUUAGUAUUUAUGGACAGAAAAUCGUGAUAAAAAAAUUAAAUUAAUAUUAAAUGUGUAUUUUUGAUUAACACUAGUAAAUAUCCCCUCUCGAAAAUUAGAAGAAAAGUUCUUUUUUUUUUUUUGUAAUUAGAAGUCCGAAUCAACUUUUUCUUGCUAAUUAAGAAUAAUAAUUCUAUAUGAGACAAAAAAAAAAAAAUUAAUGUGUAUAUACGCUAUUGCUUUUUUUUUUACUCAUAAAUUUAAUCUUUUGAGUUAGUUUGUACCUUUUUUAUUAGUCAAAUAGUUUUUUCUUUUAUCCUGCCACCACCCGAUUUUGAUUCGACGGUUGAGACAAGAGCUUCUUAUAUAUUGUGUAUGCAAAACUGAGACAACCUCUACUACCAUAUCUACACAGUGGUGUUAUUUGGCAAUUUGCCAAAAAUGGUCCCCCAGCAUCUUCAACCGUCCAAUUAGUCCAUCAAAUAGAUCGAAUGCCUAGAAAGCAUCUGGACCGUCGGACACUAAGAUCAUAAUCUAUAGUAAAUAUCAGUGUUCCGACCUUUAUGAUUGGCAUACAUUGUAUCUAACGGUAGAGACAAGUGAUACGGUCAUAAUAUCUAUGUAAAGAUACGGUGCAAAUACAGUAUAAUAUUUAUUUGCGGAAACAAGAAAUUAUUGCGUGCAUCGUGUGUAUAAUUACAUCUCAUACACCGUACAUUAGAAUCCAACUAUAUACAUGCUUCAAAAUCAGAAUCUUAUUUAUUCAAUUUUUCUACAACAUUCGGAAGGUUUACGAAUGAAAUGUUAUACAUUUUCAUCUCAAUUUCUUAUUAAUGUAACAAUAUCUACUGUUAUUUUUUUUUUUUUGGGGGACGUUUUUGGACUACUAAAUAAUGGAAUCAAGUGGUUGAUGUGGUGCAUGGGAUACAUGAGUACACUGGGUGCAUGAAAUAAUUUCUCCCGGGAAUGGGCGCCAAAAAGCGACACGCCCGUUACGUAGUAGAUUUUAAUUAAUUUCUAUGCAAGUGUGUUAUAGCUCACUCACGCUCCGUCUAUUUAUUAUUUUGUCGCUAUGAUUUAUAUUUUAGCACGAUUUUUCAUGUAGAUUUUUAUGGUAACCUUUUUUUGUGAACUUACGGAAAUAUCCUUGAAAUAAUAAAAUGGUUUGUAAAUAUUAAAUCAAAUUAGAUUGGGUAAUUUCCGAAAAGUAAAAAAAAUAAAAUAAAAAAAAGGAUUUAGGUGUUUUGUACACGUCAGCAUCUGAGGGAGCAAGUGGGGAGGUGAAUAUAAUAAAGCUGGAGAAACAGGGAGCCGUACAAAUUCACCAGGGUUAAAAAAAAGGUGUGGGUCCCACACCCAGCUGUAAAAAUUAAGUUUAAUAAAAUAUGAAUUGAUAAUAUUUUAUUUUACUAAUCCACAUGAUUACAGUAAUUUUGGAUAAAUUAAAUUUGUUUUUUAACCUCUUACUAUUGGGAGCAUGGGGUGUUUCUCAAACUUCAUAUUAUACAUACAUCUUAUAAUCAGUUGAUUUCUAUUGAAGUGAUAUGUUACGAAGUUCAAUUUAACUGAAAAAACAAAGUAUAUAUAUUAUGUACCAUUUCUCUUUAAGAAGGGGUAGUUCAAGUUAUUAAUGAUAGAAUUGAAAUAAAUUGUAAAAGAGGUAAUUUAUUCUUUCCAAUAUUAAGUAUUUGGAUGUGCCAAAGUAACUAGCACAUCAUUUUGGAAGUAAACAUAAUUUAUUAAAAUAUUAGAGAAUUUUACAAUUACUUUUCUAAAUGCACUAUUUAGACAAUAUUUUGUUAAGCUGUUAUCAAUUAGGGUCAACCAAACAUUAAAUUAUGGUAGAGUUUAAUUUACUGUUGUUUCUCUUCUUUCUUUUUUUUUCUUGUUUGAUCCUAAUUUAUAUGCUCACUGUAACAAAAACGGUUUAUAGCGACCCUUUUAAAUGUCGGUAUAGGUUAAAAAAAUUGAUGCUGACUAAAUUACCGAUACUGUUAAAAAGUAUUGCUAUAUGUGAGGUCGCUAGAUAUAUAGUGACAGUUAAAAAGUGUCACUAUAACCUAAAAAGAGUGCUGCUAAUUUAGUAACACUUAUUUAAACAUUUAGCAACCGCCAGAACUCUAUCUCGUUGGCUGCAAUAGCGUAGGAGGACGAGAGAGAAGGGCUCUUCAUCUAGAAUUUCAGUGGAUUGAGUGAGGGGAGAAGGAAAGAUGGUAAUCGAUUUUUCUUUUUUUUUUCUUUUAUGUUUGUAAUCGGGCCAAAUGGGUUGGGUGGGGUGCGUUGAGUAGAGUAACCUUUUAUUUUUUUGUUGGAUUCGGCUUUAUAUUUAAGUAUUAGUAGAUUUUGUUUUAAGUUCUGACAUAAAUGAGACACUUAUAUAAAAGUAUUCCAAAUAUCUGUCCCUAUAAUCUAAUUCUGUUGUAGUGACUACCAUUAUUAGUAAUUAUUAAGUCGCAAAUUUUACUGUAGAAAUUAUUACACUACAUUGAAAACUAAAAUUUUUCAUUUAAAAAGAUAAAUUCUUGAUUCUCUAUUCUGCACAAUAUUACGUGAACCAAAUGAUUAAUACCGCGAAUAUCGCAAGAAAUAAAUAAGCAAUCAUCACCGGUAUGUGGCAGAGCCUGAACAGACUACUGGUGAAAAUAAACAACCACAUUUAAUUUUAAUUCUUAGCAUGUAUGUUCUUGAUCAAUCCCAGAACGUAGAAUAACAACUGGCGGAUGCCUGGAAUCCAAGAUUGCCAUACACUUAAUUGAGGAAACAAAAAUUAAUUGUUAAUUCAUUCAAAAUUAUUCAAACUACAAUAUUAAAAUUCAUCACAAUAAUUCUCAAGCUCUAGUUAAAGUCCAUAAAAAAUUUAAUUAAAAUGUUUUUUUCAUAGGUUUUAUGAUAUAAAAGUUUAAAUAUUUACAUAUCAUAUUUAUAUAAUUUUACUUAGUCUUUGAAUAUCAAAAUAAUUUUGAAGAUACCAAUUUUUCAAAGUUGAAAAAUAUGCUUGAUAACAAAUUUUCGAUUGAAAUUAUUAUUUAGAUUUUAUGAAAAACAUUAGUUUUCGUUUUUCAAUGCUUUUAUCCAGCAAACAAAAACCGUGAAAAAUAAUAUUUUUUGUGAAGAUUGUUUUCUUAAAAGAUAAUUUUUUAGAAUUUGUCGAGGAUCCAAAUACACCACCUAAACUAGCUCAAAAGUUUUUCAUAAACAAAGAAUUACGCAAGGAUUUUUUUUAAAAAAAAUUUAUUUAAUUUAAAUGUGAAUUAAAUUUGAAAUAAAUAAAAAGGAACACUGAGGAGUUGCUUAACCCAAGGAUUUGACUAUUCUUAGUACUGUUAUUAUCUGAUCACGUGCCCGGCACACUCCCAAAGAGCGUUGCCUCGGGGCUUGCGCCCGAUCCUAGUCAGCAGCAGGGAACGCUCCCCAUUGGUCAGAGCCCAGGGCCCUACCUCGCCAGCUGGUGCUAUACGACUGGUCGCUGUCCGGAUGCGGCGGCUCGUGUCGCCCCCAGAUUUUUAUUUUUAUUUUUGGCAGUCCCCAUUUUCCGAUUUUUCGCAAAUUUUAAAAAAUAAUUUGGGGGAGAAAAAGAAUUUUAGAGGGAAUUGUAGGGGCAAAAUGGGAAACCAAUAAAAGCGGGAAAAAAAAGGAUUAAUAUGUAAUUAAAAUUAAAAUUGUUAUUACAAUAAUAACCCUGAGUUUCCGUAAUAAGCUGUUGACGAUCCUAUAAAACAGCCGUUUCCCGGAGCAAGAGCAACCCCCCUCCUCUCUCUCUCUCUCUCUCUCUCAAAAAAAGAGCUUCUCUCUCUCUCUCUCUUCCCCUAUAAACGAGAGGUCCCUCUCUCUCUCUCUCUCUCUCUUCUUCCCCUUGAGCUUCUUCUUCUACUUGUUUCUUACUCUCUCUCUCUUUCUCUCUCUGUCUCUCUCUCUCUCUAUCUCUUAUUGGUUUGCUUGUAUACGGAGAACAGUGGUUUCUCCCAACAUAGUGAGAGGACACGCUGAGCGUUCUCUGUGGAGCUCUGCCAUAGUAGUAGGGGCUGUAGAGUACGGAUAACGCCUCAACCCUUGUCUCCUUUUUCUCUUUAAGGUAAGGAAAUGCUCCCUUUUUCAGUCUCCAAUCUCUCUCUCUCUCUCUCCUUUCCUAGAAAUUGCUCUUUCUCUCUCUCUCUCUCUCUCUGUUUCUCUCUUUCUCUAGAGAGUCGGAAGAGUCCGUAGAGCUUUGUUUGGGUGUCGCCCUAAAGGCUUUCGUGGAAAUUUCGCUUCUUUGUUACCAUUUGAUGCUUGCUCUUGUGUAAAAAUCUCGCCUUUUUUUGGUUUUGGGGGUAUUUUUUGUUUUUUUUAAGUGGGGGUUUUACCUUUUUCUCGCGUGUUGGGUAUCAGAGGAAUAUGUUCUUUCGGAAUCUGUUAUUCUUUUUCUUUUUCUUCUUUGUGGUAGUGGUUUUUGGGUAAAGUUUGGAUUUUUAUGAAGAAGUUUCUAAUGUGUAUGUGUUGAUUUUUGCGAAACAGGGGAAGCGAAGGAGAGAGAGAGAGAGAGAGAGAGAGAGAGAGAGAGAGAGAGAGGUUUUGGUGAGGAUUAGCAAAUGCGAAUAGGAUGAUGGGUGAGACGAUGAUAGCGACGACGAUGGAAGGGAGUAGUAGUAGCAGCAGCUUCGUGGAGACCGUCAUUAUGCGCACGGAGCACGUCGACGUGACCUCGAAGCCGCUCUCGUCGCGUCCCCGGGCGGCGCGGUCGGGGCACCGCCCCGCGGCUCCGAGGACGGUGAGGGUCUUCUGCGACGACUACGACGCCACGGACUCCUCGGGCGACGAGCACGAGGGCGCGCACCGCCACCCCCACCGCCGCCGCGUCCGCCGCUACGUCCAGGAGAUCCGGCUCGAGCCGCGCCCCGCCCGCUCCGCCCCGUCGCCCGCCGAGGGGGCGAAGGCUAAGGCCGAGGCGGGAGCGCGGAAGCGGAAGCCCGCUGCGGCGGCGGCGGAGGAGGCGGGCGGGGCGCCGCGGUUCCGGGGGGUGCGGCGGCGGCCGUGGGGCAAGUACGCGGCGGAGAUCCGCGACCCGUGGCGCCGCAUCCGCGUGUGGCUCGGCACCUACAACACCGCCGAGGAGGCCGCGAAGGUCUACGACUCCGCCGCGAUCCAGCUCCGCGGCCCCCACGCGACCACCAACUUCUCCACCUCCCCCACCACCACCGCCAGGGCACCACCCCCUCCAAGGAAGAACCUUUCCUCCACCAACCUCUCCUCCUCCCUCGGCUACGACUCCGCCGAGGAGUCCCACAACGUCUCCUCCCCCACCUCCGUCCUCCGCUCCUUCCCCGCCUCCGCCGCCGCGGCGCCUCCGCCCCCUCCGCCGCCGCCGCAGCCGCAGCCGCAGCGCGAGACCGACGAGUCGGCGGCGGGGGUGUUCGCGCUCGAGCUCCCCGACGAGCUCGGCUUCUUCGCGCCCUUCGAGGACGUGCCCCUCUACGACGACUUCCUCGGCUUCGGCGCGUCGUGCGAGCCGAGCCUCCUAGCCGAGCCCAGGGGCGCCAGCUUCCUAGCCCACGGCGAGCCGGCCGGCCCGCUCCUCGGCUCCCAGGGGCUCGACCUCGGCGGGCUGACGUGGCACGCCGACGAGGACUACGACGAGUUCCGGGACAUCGGCGAUCUGUUCGCCCUCGACGAUCCGCCCCUCGUCGUCUGAGUUCGACGGCGCCGUUCUCUCUAACGGCGACUCGACGGCCAAUUUUGUAGCAGUGACUACCCCCAACCUCCUUUUUUCUUUUUCUUUUUCUUUUUUCUUUUUUUUUUUUUUCCUCCCUCCCCCAGUGUAACAACCCAAUGGAGCUUUCUAUUUAGUGUGUGGGGAUGGCAAACAACCCGAUUGACUGACCUGGAGAAUGACAGGAUCGAGACUAGAGAUGUUGUCUGGAGACCGGGUUUAGAGAAAUUCUUUUUCUUCGAAUUAAAGCGGGGUUAGGUUAUGGACAAGAAUUUGGACAAACUGGGUCAAUGUAGUUUCAUACUAAUNUUUUUUUUUUUUUUUUGGGGGGGGUUUUAAUGUUUUUUUUUAUUAUUUAUUUUUCAGCUAAUUAAUUAAUGUCUUUUCGGGUACCUAUUUUUACUGUGGAUUUUUAACAACCUCGCUCUCACGUGGCCAGUUCUCGAGCGGGUAAUAUUAACAUAGAAUCCGUGGGAUUAAAAUGAGGACACGUGGCCCCAUUUCACGCGUGUUAGUGGCGAUGUUAUGUGGAGCCUUUUGGUUCCCACGAGGGGCCUCUUCUCGAAGCCCAAUUUCUUGGUCCCGGUGUGACCACCACCCAAGCAAAAAAAAUUUUAAAAAAAUAAAAAUAAAAACAUGGUAUGUAAUGAUUUUAAGUGGAUUUAGUUUGUAAAUUUAGCACUUUUCAGUGUUCUGAAAGGGCUUAAUUGGGCCUUUUGUAGAAAGCCCAGUCAACAGGCUGUGUGACUACAAAACACCGCGCGUACAAAUACAAUUUUCAUACAUUGUGAUUUCGUAUAAAUAGACUUGUUUUAGAUGAUGUAAUAAUAACUAUCGAACUUGAUUUUGAUUCGAAGAACGCUGUACAGUGCAUGAAACAUAUAGAUACACAGAUAGAUGUGGGACUAAUUUCUCUUACAAAAUAAUAAUAAUAAUAAUAAUAAAAAAGGUAGUUACUCUUUUCUCGGGAGAAUGAUACACCAAAGGAGGGGGGUAUAUGGGUUGGGGGCGUGGCCUGCAAAUUUGCCUUUCUUGGGGGACUUUAUUGACUGAUAAUCCAAAGUAGAGGAAUUUAGUGCUUUAGAAAAUUUUUCAGAUGGUGAUAAUGCUAACAAAGCCAAACUAAAUAGCUCCAUGUAGCUCUGUCUCUCAAGUGGUGUUCUUCUUUUUGUUGGGGAGCUCUUUGUAUGGGAAUGGGCAAAGGUUUAUGAAAAAUCCCAAAAGGUGAUGAGGGUCCCUCUUCUUUUUUUUCAAAAAAAAAAAAAAUUUAUAUAUGUUGGUGUAGAUACGGAGAGAGCACGUGUGAACAGUUCUAUACGAAAAGAUACAUAGCAAGGUGUAUAUAUUCUUAGGCCUUUAUAAGUGAUUCAUUUCUUUUUGUAGAACUUUUUUGCAAAGCUUGUUACAUGUAAAAUAACAUGUUAAAGCAUGUUACUUUGUGCUUAUUUUGCAGGUUUGAUCUUCGCUUAAGGGCCUAUUGGACGCCGCUGUUUUUGUUUUUAGUCGUAAAACUAAAUACUCGUGUAACAUUGGGCUAAAAAAGAAACUCAAUAUUAUAGAAAGAAUCUAUUUAAUGUAAUAUUUAGGACUACUGAUAAGAUCACGCGCAUAUCGCAUGCUUCGGAAUAAGAUCAGUGCCUAUCUCAACCUCAGUAAUUUACUUAAUUAAUUAACAUCUUGGAUUAGACCAAGCGUAACUAAUAACAACUCCAUGUUAGUGAAAAUAGGAAAUAUGUUUUGGGGCAAUUUUGGUUGCAAGCAAAACAAUUCAGAGCAUUCUCAAGAGAGAGCAAAAAAAAAAAGAAAAGAAAAUUAUUGUAUUGCCCAAGAGAAUUUUUUUUUUUUUUUUUAAAAAAACACUCAUUGUUUCUUGGUGUUUAAUAAUUUACCUACAAUAAAUCUACCGAACUACUCAGUGCACUCAAAUGAUUUUGCUGAGUUGUCGUUUUUCUACUGGUCGGUCUAAGUAGCGUUAUAUUUUUUGUACCUUGUUUGUGAUAACUAAAUGAGAAGGUCCGUAUACGAAUAUCCCCCCGAUUUCCUAUUCGUGCUACAGGAAUCUUCUUACGUGCCUUUCUCUAACAUUCAUGAAACAUUUCGUACAAAAUUAAGUCCUUAUAAUAUUGAUUUUUGCAACAUUAGUCCUUCUUUAUAUCCUAAUAGAAUCAGGGAGAUUUUGUUUUUUUUUGGUUUGUGUGGUUCACAACCAACAUCGUUUAAAUCACUUAGGCCGUGUUUGGUUUCAAAAGAAUAAAUUGAAGGCUGAACCAUUCAUCACAAGGGACUCGGAACAAUCAAUGCCCUGCAAUUGUACCGUAACUUGUGAUUGCAUUGGGACCGCUCACAACCCGCCUCAUAUGGUCAGACCUUCAGGUAUGUUUGCAACUUCACGUAGUAAAUAGACGAUACCGAGUUCAGUAGAGCAAUACGCAAAUACAAAAAAGCUACGUGGUUGAAAGGUGAAAAAGAAAAUUGUGAAAUACCUCGGAGUAUGCAAAAAGUUGGAGCUAGAAGAAUUUUUUGAGAUGCAACUCUUUUGAAUACAAUAUUAAAAUAUUUUGUGAAAUCGAAAAUCAAAAAAAUUAUAGACAAUUCAAAAUUUUAGAAUUUAAAUAUCUUUUUUAAGUUGAGGUAAUAAAAUGCAAGAAAAGGGAAAAGAUCAAAACUUAAAUAGUAUUUACUUCAGCAGAAACUAUAUAACCUAGUGAAUUAAUAUUGAAUAAGCAAAUUUGAAGUUAAAAACCAAAAUUAAAUAGAGGAUCCAAAUGAGAUCUCCUCGAGGACAGAGGCAUUUGUACAUGUUGUCCCAUCAAUCUUUUUCAAUUUGUCCAUUCAAGGUAUUGGCUUUUAGGCGACAAAAAUGAAGCAAGAGAACGUUCUAAAAAAUCCUUUGUUUGGAUUUUUUUCCCCUUCUUUUCCCUGAAAUCGAUAAGCUUCAACUUUUGAUUUGUUUGACUUGUUCAACUCAAUCACCUUAGUAAGAUUAGGGUUUUUACUGAGCAAAAAGUUUUAAGCUCCAUUAUCAGAUGCAAUAUAUAUUCAUUAUUUUUCCAAUUAUAGACGCUUUCAUACGAUAGUAUAGUAGAGUGAGCCUUGCCAAUUAAUUUGAGAUGCGAUUACGGCGGAUACAUCAAAUUGGUAAUCCCAUAUUGCAGCAUAGUUUCUUCAUAUUGAACUACAAAAUUUAAAGGAAUGCAUGCGAUGUAUAUGUGUGUUGUGAUCGACUACGCGUUCCAGUAACUUCUAAUUUCCAAAGAUGCUCCACUCUUGUAAUCUUUUACGGAAGUACUACGUACUAGAGUUUCCAUCUUUCAUCUAUUUUAAUAAUUAAUUGAAUUAUUUUUAAUAUAGCUGAAAUUUUGAUAAACAUGUAUCCUUAAACUAUACUGUGCACAUUUUAAAAUUAUUAUUGGGAUUUUAAACAUUUUGACUUUAAUAACUAACCAUAGACUGUGCUCUAUUUUAAGUGCGCUCCAUUUAGAAAUUUAUGGCACUUUUUAACUUUUUACACACAAUAUUUGCAUCAUAACUAAAGAAAGUAAUGUUACUUAAUGAAGUAUUCUACACUUUUUUUAAAAAAAACAAAUAUCAAAACAUCUUAGCCAACAAAAGAAUUUUAAAAAUCGAGUAUCUAUUUCAAAAUACUCCCACGUGAACUCUACACAUUUAAUAUACUCAAAAUUAAAUUAAAGGGUGAUUAUUGGAUUCCCCACAAAUAUCUGAAACCAGUGCAAGUGCUCUCCUGGGAGUGAGAGGGACAAGGUAAUUUGGCAUGCACCAAUUUGUCAGAUGUUGCUCUCUUGGGUGAAGAAACCAUGUAACUAUGUAACCCUUUAUAACUAACAUUAAUCAUGAGAUUAUAUAUGUCUUUUUAUAAGUCUUGGGCACUUAUAUACAUCGAUAGGGUUUUCUCAUGUGGGUACUUCCUCAUCUUAUCAUUGGAUGCAGUACAUGUCUUAUAACAAACAUAAGAAGACACUUCAGGUUUUCAGGCUUAAUCAUUUGAUCAUACUGGGUGCAUUUAAAAUGUUAAUAAAUUUUGAUCAUCACAUUGCCUUUUGUUUUAGUUAUCAAUAAGAAAGUGGCUAGGCGAUGGCUCGAAGCGAUUAGAUUAAUUUUGAAAUAGGCUUAUAACUAAAUGAAAAUAUGCUCUCCCUGCAGGUGGUAUGAAAGCAGUAGGACUAUGAUGAUAAUCUGUGGCUUUUGUCUCGGAUUAGUUUGCGCAGUUUCGACAACUAGGCGGAGCAUUAUGAUAAAAGAAUAUGAUAAUGCUUCUUAGUACUUUUUAAGUCUAGUUUUUGGACAUUAUUUUCUUCUUACAUGCCUUUUCUUUUCAUCCCAUUAGUGGUAGGCAUGCACUCUGAAAAGUUAUGUAUGGAUUCAAUUAAGCCAGAAAAAAUUCAAUAGGGGCAUUGGACAUGUCGCGAAUCAUUGAUCUUAUUUCUCCUAAGGUUAAGUUGAGUUUGAAGUAAAAAGGCUUUAAAGAGAAAAACAGCCUAUUAAUAAGUUAUGCAUAGAAAACGCACCAAAUCGAGCCUUUUAGAGUAUAACCUAAAUAUUUCAAUAAUGAUCGUGAUCUAGUUGCAAACUUUAUAAUUGAUCAAUUCAUGCUGCUAGGCUAGCUUCAAUUGAUUUCUAUUAAUUUAUGUUUAUGCUGUUAAUUAUUUCAAAAAAUUAAUAAAAAAGGUAAAAAGAAAAAGGUGUACCAAAUUACCUAUGCAUCCUUGCCCCUCUAUAUAUAUACCACAGAAAUUUGAAUCUGGUCCUUGUAAAUAUGUCGGUGUAUACACGGAGUACAAUAAGUGCACACACGUGUAUAUAAUAUAAUUUUUGUACCCAUUACCUACCCAUGUAGGUUGUUUGGUACGUAUUAAUUAAUUGUAAAUGUGUAUGUAUAUACGUACAUAUUCGUGCACGCAUGUACAUACGUAUGUUUGUAAUAUGUAGAUAUAUAUGUCCGAAGAGAUAAUUGGGUGUCUUUGGUUCAUAGCUCAUGAAUGUACUAACCCUGCGUCAUUAGUUCGGUUUUUUUAAAAAAAUCAUGGUAAGUGUUCACACCAAAUGAUAAUUAUAUUUGCAAUAUUCACUAGUCUCUAUUUAUGCAGAUAUGGUGAUUUUUUAUGCAGUAAACCAAUUAAAUGAAGGAUAUUACAUUGGUUCCGAAAUACCAAAACCAAUGUAUGAUUAAAUAUACUUAACAAACGAAUGAGAAAUUUAUUCAGAGAUUCUACUCAAUGGUAAUCAUUGUUUGUGAUAAUUUAGGAGAUUUGUGGUCCUAAUUAAAGAAUCUAUUCUAUUGGAUGCUACUAAUAUUACUCUUUGCAUAUUAUCUUUUUAACAAAUUAAUAAUAGAUUUUUCAUCCCUCCCGGGCUCUCGAACGUGUCGUGUUUCUGAUCAAAUCUUGGACCGAAGUUCUGUGAACCUGGACUAUUACUUUCAUUCGUCCAUCUCCGUUUUUCCCUUGUAAACUUUUGUCCACCUCCGGGUUUUUUUUUUUUUUUUUUUUUUUUUUUUUUUUGCUAGCUUAUUUGGAGGCCCUAGCUGCUUCCACCAAGUACGCUUAGUUCAUUUUGCUUAAUGAAUGAAGCAGGUAGCUUGCUACCUAUUUGUCUAAAAAAAUUGUGUUGCAACAAAUUCUAGAUAACUUUACUUCAACACCUAAUAAAAUUGUUAAUUUUAAUUAUUGAGAGAUUGUUUCAAUUAAAAAAGACAGGAUAAUGAACACAAUUGGUGGGCCCCCAACUUUUAGUCUUACUUUUAAAUGGGAAUUGAUAUUUCUUAGCUAAACUCGAUAUUGUGAGAGCAGAUAUAUUGUAUUUAGUUAUAAUUUAGACUUUUUUGUUUUGAAUAAGUAUUAGAUUCCGAUUGAGAUUUGAUAUUUUUUAAAUUGAUCCAUCAAGCAUUAAUGUUUUUGGUGCAUAGUUAUAUAUAUCUUGAGCGAGAAAACUUUAAUCAAUUUCAUUUUCCAAUGAUUAAUUAUUUUUCUCCUUGGCUUCUACAAAUUGAAACUUUAUGGAACUCGAGAGUUGGCUAUUUGUUACUGGGCUGGGCUUAAAGAAACGGAUGAGUACACAAACAUGCAACUGGUGAUGUAAUGACAAAUUAUCCGGAUUAGGGUUUAAGUGAGCUAUGGAGAUCGUAACCACCUCUAGAUCAAAAUUUGACAUAUUGUUUGUAUACUGGCGCGCAGAAUAUUCCUGUAUACUAGUAAUUAAACUGGCUAUUCGAAAUACAAGGCAUAUUUGAACCAUCAGAGAUAAUCAAAUAGUUGACUGAACUUGCAAUUGAAAUGUAAGUUGCUUUCAGAUAAACGAACAAAAUAAUUAUUGUUGUGAAAAUUUUCUGCACAUUAGGUCUGCAAAGAAUGUGAACUGAUUUGUCAGAUGAUUUGGGGUCGCUAAUACGUGCUUCCUAAAAGCCAUGAUUGGAACUCGAACACACUUUUAUUGGGUGGUUAGUGUACUCUCUCAGUGUCCACUGUGCUUUUACAUAUCGCAACUCACAAACAUAUGAAAAUAUCGCAACUCACAAACAGAUGAAGUGAUAAGAAAUAUACUCUCGAAAUUAAGGGAGAAUGUUGAGCCAGUGGAAUGCAUUAUGCAUAUAUAGUCUUUCUGUCUCUGAGUUUUCGACAACUUUUGCUCGACUUGUUUGAUAAAGUUCUACAUAGAUAGUGUUAUCAGGAGAAAUACCAUAUUAGUUAAAGGUUUCGUAGUGCUUCAUUUUUCAUUGUAGAAGUGGAGGUCUUAACUGGAUAUAUGUUAUGAUUUUGAACCUCAAAAUGCAUUCUGACGGUUGCUACAUAAUUUUCGGUUUAGCAAACACUGAAUUAAAACAGACUAUAUAUAUAUGGCUGAAAGCAAAAAUAGAAUGCUCGCCUAUUAGGCACUGGUUUCUCAAACAUCUUUCUCACUUCCACAAACAAUCCACUUACGUAGAAAAAUACAUUAAAAUUUUGAAUUCUGACCUAAUUUGUCUACUUCUAUUAUAAUAAAAAAUUGCUACAAGAAAUCAACUUAAACGAUUCUACUGAAACAAUUAAUACUUUCGCAAAAACUCUAAUAAUAAAACAGACCAAAAAUGUCAGAGGAACAGAUAAUUCGAGCUAUAAUUCGUAAUAAGAAGAUGAUUUAAAUAAGUUAGACGAAUAGAACAGCUAGUGAGGCGGUAAAAAUUAAAAGUAUACAUUGUUUUCAUAUACUUAUUACCUUAUGAAAUACGUUAUAAUUAUUUUCUUACACCUUUUGGCUCUUCGCGACAUGCAAGUGCAAGUGCAACCCUACACAAGCACUGUACGAAUCGUUGCUGUCCUUAAACUGCUCGCAGAUGAUUAGAUUUGCUUCCCCAAAUCUAAGUCCCCUGUCCACUACGUGCACUGUAACACGUAAACCCCCAACCCCAUACACAAAAGAUCCAAAAACGCCUCAAAUUUUUCUCGGGUUUGUCACCUGAUCUCCCUCCAUGCAUGCAUCAAUCUCUUUCACCCAACUUCUCCCUGUGAGGAUGUCUCCGACAUAUAAUCGCACGAAAACUUAUCAGAAUUAUAGAAUAGUUUGAGUCGACUAUCCAAUCUUUUAAAAUUUUAAUUUUACUAUUUAAUUUUUUGAUCUCUUUAAUUUGAAUAAGUCAACGGCGGCGUCUUUAUAGAUUUAGUUAGUAUAAUUUGUAUAAUUUUUGCCACUAUAAAUUUAUUAAAGUGAAUGAUUAGUUUUAAAUUUUAAAGUCAAAAUAUCGUUUACCGACUCAAAUCAAAUAAAUUAAAAUAAUAGAUACUAACACCAAAAUUUUAAAAAAUUCAAUAGCCAAUUUAAAAAAAGUCUAAGUUAUGUAUAUUUUCACCUAUCUUGGAUUCAGAGGGGCAUAUUAAUUACCAUGUAUAAUAGGUCAUAUGUAGGCCAACAUUUCCAUUAAUGUAUCUACCAUUUUGCAGGUGCAUGUAUAUAUUUAGUAGUUGAGGAAAAAGAAGAACCACACAUGGAGAUACUGUGGUAAAACAGUAUCUUUCGUUGUUGUACUGUAGACAUUGGGAAUCACCCACAAAGAGAGAGAGAGAGAGAGAGAGAGAGAGAGAGAGAGAGAGAGAGAGAGUGUGUGGCAAAGAAUCCAAAAUUAACAGUACGCCACUUACCAAUCCCCACAAGGAAAAUGCAGUUUACUUCUCUCUCUCUCUCUCUCUCUCUCUCGUUAGGUAAUGCAAUAGAUACUCCACAUAUACCGACUAUUUUUAAGUUCGAAGUCUAAUUUAUUCACAUUUUUAACUAUAUUUAUUUAUUUAAAAAUAAAUAAAGUUAAUAACAUAUUAUCUUCUUUCAAUAAGAGAUACUCAACAUUUAAAUUUCGCCAAAACAAAAAAAAUCUGUGAUCGUUAUUUCUGUCGUUUACAUGACUUACAGAUUUGCAUUGUUUAUUUAGGCCCCGUUUGGUUAGGGAGUUAAGCGGGGAUAAUGAAAGUUAUCCCCGCUAUUUCGCCAAACGGGAUGAAAAUUGACCGGGAUAUUUUAUCCCAGUCAAACCUUGCUAUUCCCGGUUAUCCCGGGAUAGCAAGGAAUUUGUUAUUCCACUAUUUUGGUGGAAUAGCGCUAUUCCAAUGCUUAAUUUCAAACUUAAUUAUAAUUAUAAAUUGAAUUAAAACUAAAGUAUAUAAAUAUAAUAUAUUAUAUAUUAUAAUACAUUAUUUUUAUUAUAAAAUUAUUAAUUAUACUAUAUUAAUACAUAUUAUUUAUAUUUAAAUAUUAUAAUAAAAUUUAUAAUAAAUUAUAUUUAAGUAUUAUAAUAAAUUCUUUUUAUUAAAUUUAAGUUUAAGUAGAAUUUUUAAAAAAAUCUAUAAAUUUAUUAUAAUAAAUUAUUUUUAUUAAUUGUUCCCACCCCUAUUCUUAUUUUAAAAAUUUAAAAAUUAAAAUUUUAAAUUUUUAAAAUUUAUAAUUUAUAAUCUCAAAAUUAAAGUUUAUAAUUUUAAAUUAUAAAUUAUAAAUUAUAAAUUUUAAUUUUGAUAUUUUAAUUUUGAAAUUUAAAAUUUGAUAUUUUAUAUUUAUUAAAUUUAAAUUUAAUCUUAAAUUUAAAGUUUGAAAUUUAAAAAUUUAAAUUUAAAUAUAAUAAGAGGAUAAUAUGAUUAUUUUUUAUUUAUAAAAGACCACUAUAUUUCUUAUUCUAUCAUACCAAACCAAACGCUAUUUUUUUAAAUUCUAAGAAUAAGCCAAUUUUUAUCCAAACGCAAAAUUGAUCUAAUUCCCGCUUAUACCUCAAUUUAUACCUAUUCCUGAAAUAACCACUUUUUACUUAUUCCCGAACCAAACGAUACCUUAGAGAACAACAGCAAAUAAAAACAAUGUUAGAAUGAUGGACAAUCUCUCUCUAUCCAUCUAUCACUGUAUCUAUCUUUGACGAAUUUGUUACCAUGCAUGAACUUUGGAUAUUACGUAGCUCUGCGAAAUUUUACCAGCAAUAAAUGGGAGCACCUGCAAAAGCCAGGGUUUAUUCUUUCUAUGAAGCGGCUACGUACUAGCGAUGAUAGGAUAAAGGUGAGCUUAAGUUGUGGUUCCGAGGGACACUACAACCUGUAGCUGUGGAGCUCACACUGGGCCUACUUUCAUUUGAACCUUUUUUUUUUUACUUUAUAUAUAUAUAUAUAUAUAUAUAUAUAUAUAUAUAUAGUUGAGCUGAAAUGCUAUCGGUAACAAACGGGCUCCGUUGCCACCCAUUUGUUUUCGAUGAUGGAGCUUUCAAAUCGACGAUCGGCACCGUUGAACAUGAUCUAUAUCACUUGAAGUAUCUAGAAAUCAAAUUUUAAAUCUUUUCGACAUCAUUUACCUAAUGAUCAAACGGUUUCAAAAUUAGUAAUUUUAAUGGUUGAUAUGAGGGGUUUUCUAGUUUAACGGUGUAAAGCUAUCCAAAUCAAUUGAAUUUUGGUUAGAAAAUUCUUUAAACUAUUUAGAACAAGAUCUAUACUUUCGAUCAUGAUUACAAAAUUUCUAUCAUCACUUUUUAGAGGAUAUUCAUUUUCAGCCAUUCAUUUUACGCCCACUUGAUUGACAAGAAAACAGUAUCGGAAAAAUAUGAAAUUUGAUUUCUAAAUACUUCAAGUGGUAUAGAUCAUUUUUAAUAGUGCCGAUCGUCGAUUUGGAGGCUCCAUCAUCGAAAACAAAUGGGUGGCAACGGUGCCCGUUUGCUACCAAUAGUAUUAAUUCCAGCUCAACUCUCUCUCUCUCUCUCUUCUCUCUUCUUCGGUCUCUCUUCAUCUCUCCUCUCCUCUUCUUCUCCUAUAUAAAAUAUACAUAUAUAAUAAUAAUUAUAUAUAUAAUAAUAUAGGUGACGGCUAUCAUGCUUAUCGAAGCACCGGAACCUUCCGCUUACAGUCGCUUUCGAUUCACUUUCAAUCGUCGAUCGCUCCGUUAAACUUGAUCAUAGAUUGAAGUACUAAAAAUAAAUUUUAUAAUUUUAAAGAAUCAUUUGCAGAAACAAGGGCUCAAAAAUCAACAGCUAAAAUCAAAAUCUUACAAAUAUAAUAAAUACAUUAAAAUUUUAAUCAAAGAUAUUGAUCUUGUUUAUAUAGUACUAAAGAUUUUCUAUCAAAAUUCACAUAUUUUGGAUAUGUCUACAAAUCCGUUAAACUUGCAAACGGCUCACUACGGCCAUUGAAAUUUGUUGAUUUUGAACCCAUUCGAUUACUAGGCAAAUGAUAUCGAAAAAUAAUAAAAUUUAUUUUCUAGGUACUCCAAAUACUCUAGAUCAAGUUUAACGGAGCCGAUCGACGAUUCGAAAGUCGCAACAUCAAAAAUGAGCUGGAAGCACGGAAGGCUCCGUGCUUCCGAUAGCAUAGUAGCCUCACUCUAUAUAUAUAUAUAUAUAUAUAUAUAGCUUUACUGUUUAGGGGUGAAAAUUGAGUACGGGUAAUAAUAUAGCAAUUAUGGAACUUGACUUCGAAUUGGUGAUUCUAAGCUCAUAAUUAAAUGUCCAUGUUGAGGUCAACCUCUAUGGAGAUGAAAACUUAAUAGUAAGGAUUGUUUACAGCAGUUGGUUGUUAUCUGGAGCUAAUUUAGAAAUCAGAAAUUUGAAUCUCUACUCGUGCUGUCGUGCAUUUAAAAAGAAAAGGGAUUUUGAACUCUGGCAUUUUAUGUCGUAACAAUUGUUUACAGUAGUUAGUUGCUAUCCCGUGCGUAAUAGAGGCCGAAAAUUCGAAUAUCUCCUCGUGCAAUUCAAAGAAAAAAGGGAUUUUGAGCUCUAGCUUUUUAGAUUCUAGGAGGGUUCUUGAGGUAAUCGAAUAGAUAUUCGGCCCUAUGGAAUAUAAAGAAUUUUGCAAAUUCAUUUCUGUUUAAUCUAGAAAUUGCAAGUAAUUAAGGUUAGAUAUUCGUAUGAGCGGAUUCACCGAUGUUAGAUGUGCUUCGAAAUUGGUUAUUGACUUCAGUUUUGGAACUCCGACUCGUCGACAGUAUCGCGGUGCAACUAAUUUGAAAAAUAAAUUUGUGGAGGAAAAAUAAAUAUCUGUGAGAGGUAGCGGAGGACUCCAGUCGAUAGGAUUGGAUCCGAAACCUGUUAAGAAUUUGUUUCUUCAUUUUGCCCUAGAGGCCACAGGUUGAUUGUACUCUAAACAUUGUAUUCCUUUUUUCGCUCGAUAGUAAAACUCUCCUCCUUCGCCCGUGGUUUUCUAUCUGUAAAGAAUUUUUCACAUAAAUCUGUGUAUUCUUCUAUUUUCUGUUUAUGGUUUGUCUAUUGUGUGUUCGCCAUUUUCGUUUCUUUUUAUGCGUUUGUCAUAACAACGGAUUCCAUUCUCUUGAGAACUUGGCGCAACAUGCCACUCAGCUGCAGUAAAUCUCUGUCCAACAAAAAGCUUUUAAUUCUUUGUAAUAGUUAGAUAUCAUGAAUGGUAUACUCCAAAUCCAUCUCAUUGUGUCAUCGGGAGAUAAUAAAAUGUCUAAUUGAUUAAUUAGUGCAAUGAUAUAUAAUAUAGUAAUUUUAUGUUUAAAAGAAUAACUUUGAAUAAUAGUGUAACUUUUGGUUUUUUUUGCUGUAGAAUUGCUUCCACAGAAAAUUCUGUCCUAUCCAUAUACACGAGACGUUAUUACUUUAACAUUCCACGUGUCAUAAAUGGCAAUUCACAUGCAUAAUAGUAAUAAGGGUAAACUUUAAAUACCACCUCUGUGAUUUCACAUUUUUUCACUUUAGUAUCCUAUGGUUUUAUUGUUAUCUCUUCGUCAGCAUUGUCGUUAAUAUUUUGUUAAAUUAUAUAUAAAAAAAUUCAAAUACUCCUUCUAGAUUUAUCGAAUAUUCAAUUUAGUACCCUUUAGUUUUAACUUUGUCACUGUUUUAACGAAUAAAGUUAGUGAAAUCGAUAAUAAAAAGAUAAAAAUAAAACCACACGACACUAAAUUGAUACACUUUAAACCACAGAGUACUAAAGUAAGAAAGUGUGAAAUCACACGGGAUAGUAUUUGAAGUUUUUUCUUAAUAAUAAUAAUAAGAAUGGGACCCUCGAUUACGCCCACCCUUGUUUAAAUCUAAUAACAAUAAUAAUUGGUUGGAGUUAAAAAGUUUUAUGUUUGGUGGAGAAAAAGAACAAUUAUUUUGAGUGGGAAAGGGGGAUGCUUCUGCAAAAAGCGCUUCUUCUCCACCCACCGACAAGGCGCAGUGAUUUUUGGUGGGGGUUGUGUGGGAGGACGAAGGAGCCCAUGAGGCAUGAGCUCCAUCUCUCUCUCUCUCUCUCUCUCUCUCUCUCUCUCUCUCAUUUCCCUAACAUCACGUGCAUGGCCCGAUUCAAAUUUGGUACGCCUUGUAACGCCCAUGAGAUUUUGUUGAAACAAUUUGAUAAGCCGCGCGUAUGAUUCGCUUCUGUAUAUAUAUAAUACGAGAUUCUGAUCAUCUGAUAGUUUAACCUUUUAUAUUGGGCUCAAUUUCAUUUAACAUGAGAAGUUCGAUUCACACUCCACUUGUGAUUAAAUUUUAUUGAAUCAUCAACUAAGGCUUAGUUUGGUAUUGAGAUCUAUCUAACGCUAUUUGCUAAAUUGGAGUUGUGGAAAAAGCUUAUAGAGAUAUGCUUCUGCGUUUUCCGGUGGGACCGCAUAAAAUAUAGUGUAACCGACUCAUCGCGAUAUGUAGAACGCAAUAUUACGUACGAAAAUAAAGAGAAUAUUUUUUCAGCGUACUUUCUUACCGCACGUAACGCAAUCUUCCUACAAUUCCAAACGAAGCCUAAUUUGUCUAAGAGUUUCGCUUUUCCCGUGACAACUCAAGCUAAGCUUUUGGAUUGAUUCGAGUCAUUAUACAUAAACAACCGAGCAGUUCAGUGGUCGGGUGUUCGAAUUUCGACUAAAACUUAAAUGUAUAUGUCUUAACUUACACGAUGGUUACACAACUUUAAUAUGUAUGUAACAAUUUUUUUAUUUUAAAAAGUGUUCGUCCUUAAAACGAACCGCUCACAAGAAGGGUGGACCAUUGUGUACCUAAUUGAGUCGGGUUUUGACCGAUCGGAUCGGGUAGCAAAAUCCAAAACCACAUUCCAUGGUCAAACAACUAGUCAACGGUUUGAGUACAAAAAAAUUCAAUAUUUUCCUGCUUCAUCUGAGCAAUAAAUAUGCCAGAAAAAGACAGAGACAUAUCCUACCAAAUUUUCAAGUUUAAAAAAAAAAAAAAUCGUUGCACUGUUGGUCCGAAUCUUUUUCGAGCAAUUCUUUUUUUUUUUUAUCUUCAAUUUAUAAUAUUUUUUUUUAAAAAAAAUGUUAACUUUUACUACUGAUUUUGAUCUCAUGGUAGAAAGUUUUAUUAUUUUUACUAAAAACUAUCACCUAGGUCUUAAAUCUUACCACUCGAUAAUUCAUGUAUGAUUUAUCGAAAUUUCUAACGACAAGAAUAACGGCAAAAAUCAAAGAUUAUAUUGUUAUAAUAAUAAUUAGAAUUAAAGCUUAGAAUCAAAUUGAAAAUUCAGAUAAAAAUUGAGGACUAGUGAUAUAAUUGCAUUCCAACAGAACCACAUUUUCAACUAUAGAGUAAUCAAAAUUAAGGUAUAAACUUUCAAAUAAAAUUUCUAAUAUUUCAAAGGUUUAUAUAUAUAUNUAUAUAAAAAUAAUAAACUGAAAAUCGUUUUUUUUUUUUUAUUUCGGCUCGAGUUAAUAUUUUUCUGAGUAAAUAUAUAUUUAAAAAUUUAUAAGCUAGUUUCAGAUUAUCCAUUCUAAAAUAUUUAAAUAAAAAAUAUAUAUAGGUUAGAUUAAGUAAAGCGAAUAACAUGCAACAAGUCGAACACAAGCCGAGCAAACAAUUUCUCGGUUUGUGUUCAACUUAAAAAGCCGAGUUAUAAAAUAGGUCGAUUGAGCACAAGCCGAGCAAAUAAUUUACUCGGCUUGUGUUCGGCCGGGAUUGAGCGAGCACAAUCCGAGCAACUGUGGGGAUGCGCACUCCUCGAAUUAAAUGGUUUUCCUAAUAAAACGCACCACAGUCCGUCGUCGGCACCCACGUUGGCGUACCGGUUAGUGAGUGAAUAUUUGCUCAGUUAACACUCCAGUGAAAAGAUCGAGCUUUUUAUUUGUUUCAAUUUGUGUUCGAGUGAGAUCGAACAAGCAAAAACUGCUACAUCGAGUUUUUAUAGUAAAUCAUAUCAUAAUAAAAAUCUCACUAUACAUCGUUUAAAUUUAUAAAAAAAAUCAAAAUUAAAAAAAGCAAUCGUACCGAAAAUUUGAAAUUAUCAUUAAUUAUUAUGAUGUUCGUUUUCAUUCGAGUUAUUACUGUUAUUAUUAUUAAUAUCAAUCAUAAUUAUACUGUGGGAUUGAAAAAUUCCCCAGUGGGUAACAUCUUGAUGAAAGCAGGAUCGUGCAAAUUGAGAGAAUUGAAGAACUCGGAUUGAUGAUGACUUUUAUAAAUUCAGUCAAAUUUUUAAAUCGGUAUAAUAUAAAAUAUAUAUCCUAAUAAAUCCCAGAGUGUUAGAGGGAAGGAAAUUUAGAACUGCAAGAGCAGUCCGAGUUUGAAUGUUCAUAGUCCACUAUAUUCUGAGCAAAUUUAAAGCUCCCCUUGAGCUCGGCCGAGACUCAAUGAAGACUCGGUUAGAGCUCGAUGGGGUCGAACGAGUAUAUAUAAACCGAGUAGUUGUUAGAAGGUCGUCAUCGUUAUCGUCUUUGAAAUACAACCUGGAAUACGAAAACCCUAAACUUUCGAACAAACUCGAAUGAAUGGUAUCGUUUUGGAGGCAAACGAUUUACGGAUCGAUGGCAAAACGCAUCAUCUCUUCGACAAACUCUUCGGUUCGGUUUGUCAUUUAGGGAUGUAAGAUUAACCUCUUAAUGACGAUGACAAAAGGUACUAAAUUGGACCCGUAAUAAAAGAAAAGUUUUCUUAACUUGUAACCCAUUUUUUCGAAAGGAAAAGAGAUGAUUCUACAGGAUUAAUCAUGGAGAGUAAACCAUGUAUAACCACUUCAGUUUUGAGAACUCGAUGAACAAUAAAAGACAUGAAGGUCGAAAUUCUGUUGGUUAGUACUCACACAAACAAGAAAGAGUUGAGUCCACUGGUUAGUAUACCAACCACCUCUCCCUCCUUAGUAUUUCGGACGAGAACCACUCUCAACCUUCUUGUAAGGGGUACAUGCGGAACACCAGAGGGCACUAGUUCUCUCGUUACAAACAUGUCGUUGACAUGAUUUUGUGUGUUACUCCCAUCGCAUGAUAUAAGUACAAAGUCUUAAAUGAACAUUGUGUCUAUAUUUAAAAUCGGUUUACUUCUUGGUUAGUAUCCUAAAAUUUGUACGACUAUAACGUGAAUAUAUUACAGGGAUAUCGUCGUACAAAAACUAAAGCUUAUAACGUUGAGUCCCCUUUUUUGUGGGGGCUUUGACACGAGCAUAAAAGAAACGUCUGUUAAACGGUACACAGUCUCUGAGCCUCAAACGUUCCUGUUUUCAUGUGUUACAACUGAUUAGAAAUCAAAUUGAAUUCCUCGUAACCUUCUAAUCUUCAAUGCUUACAAAGGAAAGAGCUAGUAAAUCCCUAGUAGAAAUAAGAUAAUUGUUCAGUGAAUUGUUAAUAGGUAGUAGUUGAUGCUAAAACCUACGGUGUUGUUAAUAACUAGUAGUUGAUGCUAAAACCUACAGUAUUCUUGAUAGUUAGUAGUUGAUGCUAAAACCUAGUAAAUCCCUAGUCGACAUAAAGUAAUUGUUCAUAGUAUUGUUAAACACCAACAAUACGGGAUAGAUUUAUAUAAUCCGCGGUUAAAAACCUGUAAUCAAGUGAAAUAUGAACAGUAGAGAAAAAACAUAAAACAUUAUAUGAGACAGAUCGGGCUGAGGAGUAGAAGACCAUUUUACAGACGUUCUAAUAGAAGUCCUAUAAGGACACUACUCAACACGUCGAAGGAAAACCUUGAAAAGAAGGAACGACUGAUAAACGCGUUUACAUGUUCGAUCUGCUAGCCAUAUGAUGAAUAAGUGUAAAAUCGAGAUAAGACACCAGUCUUAAUGAAUAGAAUAGAUCUGGUUUAAGUGGCUCAUAUACCGAAUCUAGUUGAGGCAAAGAUCCCGAAGAAGGCAUAGUCUACGAAGGUUAGAGAACAUUAGGGCAACGAAUAAAGUUCACGUACGUGAUCUGGAACAUCUUUAUCUAUUGUUUUAACAUUGUGUGACUUCGUAGUUCAACAAUGAGCAGAAAAAGAGCUCAUAAGGAAAGAAGAUUACGAGAGUGAGACGAAAAGAUAAAUAAAAAUAUAAGAGUCCGAAGACCAGCGUGGCGUUUUAAACACUAGGUGUUGACUUGUCUCCGUUCGUGAAGAGGCCUAUCCCACUCCUUCUGUUCCACCGUCCUUCCACGACGAUAGGAGUCGAAGACUACUCCUCGUGCUUUAUAGAGUACGCCGUGAGGGAUCGACUAAUAAGAAAAGGAAAACAAACUUACGAUUGACAAAAACGAAGAGAUCGAAAACAAAAAACGUGUUUAACCCCCCCCGGUAUUUCGACCGCUCGAUCAUAGCAAAGUACUUGCUGCAUGCGUUCUUAGUGACGAUACCUGUUUCUCCUUAGGAAAUGAGCAGGAAGCUUGCAGGCAAUAACGUAUACCAGAACACUUGACACUCCUUUUGUAGGUCCUCUCAUAUAUUUCUAAUUUGUCGAAUAAAACAUAACUCUAAUGGGAACACAACUCCUUGGAAAACGAAACAGAAGCUCCUCCCAGCCUUAGAAAACACAAACCUGUAAAAAAAACAAGGACACACUACUCCAUCGGUUAUUAAAUGGGAGACUUACUAUCGUCGGGUUAUCCUUGGACGGUACAGUCUGUCUCUCUCAACAACCUACUAUACCAUACCUACAAUGUAGAUACUCACAGAUCUGGAAAAGUACUACCAGUGACUAACUAGGCUCGCACUUUAGGACGGUGAGGCUGGCAGGUAAAAAGCUACCAACGCUAGCGAACGCGUUCUCGAAACCUACCGGACUACACCUAACGGAACAGGAAACAUAAAACGAUCAUGCUAAGAUUUGUGUUCCUUGUACAAAAGCCACCAGGUCCCCUUGCAGCUAUUACUUGACACAUGACCCGCCGUUAAUGUUUGUCUAAUUCUUAUGAAAACAUCAAAAGUUUUGAAUCUGAUACUUUUAUUAUCGUGUAUGUCGAAUUAACAGGAAAUAUCGUACUAUUUUAAACUAACUAAACAGCAUCGAGAGGGAGGAUGUGUAUGACCAAUGCUCCUACAUAUCAUCACACGUGUAACCGGCCAAGUCGUUCCAGCGUCGCCUAGAAGCAUUUUAUUUGGAUUGGUGUCAUAUGCAUACGUGAAACAUUUGGGUUUAACUUCGUAAAGCCAAGACAAACCAACCAAAUAAGUCGAAACCUACAUUUUGAGUUAAAGCACACCAUAUAUGUAGUUUCAUUUAUACUGCCUAGAUGCUUGUGGUGAGUUGGUUAGUUUGACAGUGUCACGCCAAUGAAGACGAGUAAGUCAGCAGCUGAGCAUCUUAACUUACUUCAACGAUCGUUUUCACUCAACUUGGCUGUGUUUACUCAGCCGAGGCAAACCAUGUAGUCAAAAAAAACCAUGUAAACAAGCCAGGUUGUCAUUUGAUGCACAGCAGCGUCGUCGGCUCAGACGUAUUGGUCGUGUUGUUCUUUGAAUUACCGCUAAUUCUUUCCAAUAGGAGAGGAUUGUGCUCAGAUAAUUGGGAUUACCCUGUGAAUUGGAUGACGCCACUACCUAGAACGGUGAGGACACCUAGUUUAACCUUCUGUGAUAGCAGAACCUCCCCGGUCAGAUAAGAGUUAGGAUAGUAACAAAAGUUAGGACUCCUCUUAUUGAAGGCUUAAACGUUUUUCUUAUUGUAAGGUGAUUUCUACUACCCUCUUUCUAACCUUCCAUCCUGACAAAUAUUUUAUCACCCCGUUCAGACGUUGUAGAACAGUUUACUACUUAACAGUUUUCAUGAUGAAAAUAACGAUUAUAACAACUUGGAGGAACCACUAACUAACACGAUGAGUACACCUAGUUUAUACUUCUAUAGUAACGGAACCUCACCCACCAGAUGCGAGUUAGAAUAGUCGUAGCAGUUAGGGACGUUGACUUUCUUUUUAUUGAGGACUUAAAGUUUUUUCUUACUGUAAGUUGACAUCCACUACCCUCUUUCUAACCUGCCGUCUUGCCAAGUGUUUUACCACCCCGUUAAGACGUUAUAAAGACGUUGUAGGACAGUUUACUACUCAAAAGUAUUCAUGAUUAAAGUGGCGAUUAUAACAACUUGGAGGGUCACUAACUAACACGAUGAGGGCGCUUAGUUUCGCCUUCUGUAAUAACGGAACCUCACCCACCAGAUGCGAAUUAGAAUAGUCAUAACAGUUAGAGUCGUUGACUUUCUUUUUAUUGAGGGUUUAAAGUUUUUUCUUACUGUAAGUUGACAUCCACUAACCUCUUUCUAACCUACUAUCUUACUAAGUGUUUUACCACCCCGUUAAGACGUUGUAAAACAGGUUACCAUCUAAAAGUUAUCAUUAUAAAAACAGCGAUUUUAACUACAAGAAUAUUUGACUUUUAACAAUUGUAUUUACUAUAUUUAUCAAAGAUCAAUUGAGUAGUAAAUAGAGCCAAUUCUAUUAUGAUAGAGUAUACACCCCAUAUAUUAUUAUCGAAUGCGCUCCCGUUACAACCUCUUGGGUUUCGUAAAGAUGCGCAGGUUGAUUACCACCUUAGUGCCUUCUUUUGGUAAAAAGGUUUUUUUUUCUUUUCUUUUCUUUUUCAAAAGUAUUUUUCGUAACGAAAUAUUAAAAUAAAAGAUUAUUUUUAAAUUUUUUAUUUUUUAUGAAAAAUAUUUUAAAUUUAAACAAAUCUUUUAUAAUAGAAAGUUUCAAUUUGUCCACUUUUUAUAAAGAAGCCAUUUAUUUUAUCAAGACUUUAUAAUCUUCCUCUUGCUUUGUGGUAAUUCUAUAAAUAGAAACUUACGUUGUUAAUUACGAGAACGAGAAGAUAUCCAAAAUUGAUCCAUAAUGUAUAUGAUUGUGUCUUAUGCCCUAUUCUUAUUCUAUGCUGUACUUAUGCCACGGAGCCGUUGAAACUGUGCCGUACCUGUGGCGAUUAUUUUAUAUUAUAAUAAUUGUAUUAUUAUAUAUAAAUAAUAUAUUUUUAUAAUUAAAACCAUUUUAUAACAAUAUAAAGAAUAUACUUACUUUCAAUCAUUUUAAAAAUGACUAUUAAGUAUCUAAAAUUCUUUUUUUUUAAGCCGUGGUAUGUAUUAAAUAAAUAUACCGGUUAAACGUAUUUUUUAGGUUAUCAAAAGUCGAAAACGUUUUCACCCGGCGGAUAAACUAAAACGUCUAAUUCCGGCCUAAAAGUUUUUUGACCAGUUCUAUUGGAAUAAGGGGAAAGAGGAAAGAGAAAAAAAAAAAAAAAAAAAAAUAUUACAUAUAUAAUUAUUUAUAUUAAAUAAAUUAUAUAAAUAUAAAAUAUAUGUAUUUGAACUGUUAUCGAGCCGAACACGAACGAGCGAAUCCCAGCUCGUGUUCGACUCGUUUAUUAAACGAGUUGAAAAAUUCAGCUCAUGUUCAGUUCGUUUACUAAACGAGCGAUUCGAUCUCGAGCUCAUUUCGAGCCGAACACGAACUGGCUCGCAAACAGCGAGCUAGAUUGCCACCCCUACUCACGCCGAACUGUUUUAAAAAGUAUUGUGAUGCGAUCCAGUACUUGUGCCUCACCGCGGAGGCCAAUAGGCCCUUAAAAGGACGGGACGCACGAGUUCAAGCCAGUUUCGAAUUGUAGACGAGCUGACUCACGAACAACGAGCUAGAUUGGCAGCCCUAGACAUUAAGGUCGCGACCGAACCAAAAGCGGCUUUUGAGGACGCCACAUGAGGCAGCCUCCAACGGAGGCCACAUGGCCCCGGCCCACCACUCACUAGUACUAAACAAAUUUUAUGUCUCGUCCAGGAGCGCUUCUGCUUCAACCAUGGGCCAUGGGGCCAUCGCUUUCGCCAAACCUUUCUCGCUCGUUUGUUUCUUCUUUGAGCACUCGUUAACUUUUUUUUCUUUUUUUGUUUGUUUUUACCGACCAAUUAGGCACACGAUACCUGGAAAAUGCCUAGACACAGGCAUUACUGUGCGUUCAUAAAAUGUAGAAUUGAUCGCAAUCAUUGAUAAAAGACGAGAUCCAGUAGUUAAGAUUAAUCUCAUCUUUUAUGGUCAGCAAAAUUACACCGUGGGAAGUAACUUUAAUUCUGCGUACAUGUACGUAGUUGCCGGAGUAGUCGAAAGUCGUGUAUAUAUUUUGUUCACGACCGCGGGCGCAAGAAAUAUUAAUUUUAAUCUUUGCAGAAAUGAAAAUUCAACAAAUUAUAACUUCUAAUCAUAAGAAUUAGGGCAUGCGUAAACCCUUAUUAAAUUUUAUUUUAAUAUUGAUUUUAAAAUAAGUUGAACAUAUAUGUGUGCCCUCCUCGUUGCAGUGCACUUCUCCUUUUUCUUUUAAAAAGAAAAACACAGUUUAGAGAAUUUUUGUAAACAAAUAAGUUUGUGGACUCCAUUCUAAGAACCCUUCUAACAUUCACAGAUUUUUUUUUUUUUUUUUUUCGUUUUGAAAGGCGGGAGCUCAAACGCUGCUAUUUCAGAAAUUCGCUAAGGGGAUGUUUGGUUUGCUGUAAAAGUACUCUGAAAAUUAAUUUUCAGUUGAAAAAUAUUUUUCUGAUGUUUGGAUUUCUGUAAAAAAAUUUUCUCGGAAAGCUCCUUUUACAAAUACGCUGAAAAUUUGGGGUUUUCGUUUUCCGCUCUGCAAGAGCGGAAAACGAAAAGCUACAGUAAAAAAUAGCGGGGUUCAUAGGAUGUUUUGCGCGGGGUCCACAACGUGAGCUUCACCCGGUGGACCGCCGCCUGAGUGAGAGAGUGAGAGAGAGAGAGAGAGAGCUCCCUCUAUGACUUUAUAUAUAUAUAUAUAUAUAUAUAUAUAUAUAUAUAUAGAGCAGGACUGCUGUGCUCUCAGGAGCACGGAGGCCUCCGUGCUCCUGAGCCGUUUUCAUUGAUGGAAUUUCCGAAUCGACGAUCGGCUCCGUUAAACUUGAUCUUGCGUAUUUGAAGUUUUUAGAAAAUAAUUUUUGCGAUUUUUUUAUAUCAUUUACCUAGCAAUCAAAAGAAUUCAAAAUCAAUAAUUUUUAACGGCUAAAAAUAAAAAUUCUAUAAAAAGUGGUGAUAUAACACUAAAAUUUUCGAUCAGAAAUAUUGAUCUUGUUGUAGAUAGUAUAAAGAAUUUUGUAUUAAAAUUUCAUCUGAUUUGAAUACUUUUAUACCGUUAAACUUGAAAACGGUAGAUAUCAACCAUUAAAAAUUAUUAAUUUUGAACGCUUCCGAUCACUAGGUAAAUGAUAUCAAACAAUCGCAAAAAUUAUUUUCUAGAAACUUCAAAUACGCUAGAUCAAGUCUAACGGAACCGAUCGUCGAUUUGAAAAUUCCAUCAUUGAAAACGGCUCAGGAGCACGGAGGCCUCCGUGCUCCUGAGAGCACAGCAGUCCUGCUAUAUAUAAUCUUGCCUAAAUAUUAAAUAGUUGGACAAACUAAUGAUAUAAAAAGGCUAAUUUAUCACUAUAACAAAAAACUAUCUAUUUGAUAUUUAUGAUUUUUGUAUAUGUAUGUAAAUAUUAAAUGUUGUAGUUCAUAUUUUUAUGGACUCAAAAUUAAAGGGCCAGUGAACAAUGUACCAAAUUAAGUCAAUAAUUUCUCCAUUUAUAGUGUACAAAUUUGUCCCUUCCAUUUGUUGGAUGUAGUAUGAACUUUCUAAAUUUUCUAUAUGCAAAAAUAAUAAUUAAUAAGAAAUUUGUUAUCUAGACAUUUUAUAGUCUUAGAAAAGUGACAUCUCCUUCCAAGUUACUUUCAGUGAUGGGACCGAAUCAAUAUCAACACCGUUAAAUAUUAUCUAUAUAAUAGAUGGCUGAUAUAAAGUCUAUUUGAGAUAGUUUGAUUAGUAAAAUCAUUAAAUUUGGCUUUUAUGAAAUUCAAACAGUUUUUAUCAUAUUUAAUUAAUAAUAUUGUUUAUUGAUUCGGAUGCGUUAUUAUAAAAAAUGGCCUGAAAGUGAGACACAUAUGUAAUCUUAGCCUUAGUCCAAACUCCAAAAUGUUUACAUUUAAAGUUUUUAAGGUGUUCACAUCUAACACUUUUUUAUGUUAUAGUUUUUUUUUAAAAAAAAAAUUAUUGUUGAGUUUAGAAGGCACGGUCCACGGUACACCACGGUUCACGCACCAAUGCCUAUAUAUGCUUAAAAUUGUCCAAUAGAUAAACAUGCUUGGACCAUACGGGUGGUUCAGCGAGCGCCGUACACCGAUCCCACGCGUUCCCCGAGGAGCGAAAAUGUAGUGGGGGACCACAAAAUCUGACGUGUGGGGCCCGCUGGGAUCUGGACCGUCCAAUCGCUGCUCGUGGCGAGCACAAGUUAUUCGCUUCUCUUUUGACGAGCCAAAAAUGCCGGGUCUUAUCCACUCGUACCGCGGCAAAGAAUUUGAUGGUUGAUAUUCAAGAUCACAAAUUCAUAUUGAUUUAUAUUUUCAGCUAAGCUUAUUUCUAAAUAAAAAAAAGCUCAAUUGGAUUCUACAGCGGAUCCGUCAAGUGCCCAAAAGUAGAAAAUUAUGGAGUAGCCAUUAAAGGAAAGGGGUAAUGGGGAUUGUGGCCCAUAAAUGAUUGACUCUGACAAGUGAGGGAGUUUGAGAAUGUAAAUAGGACGGAUCCGGAUGCAGAAGGACUCUCCCACCUCUCACCCCAUAUUUUUUUAUGGGUCGGGGAGAAUUCAAUGCGGAUCGGGUUUUAUCAAUUGUUCCCUUCAUUUACCGCUUCAUUCACUUGGGUCAGAGCGCGGUGCGGUUUUGUGCAGGAUAUUUGGCGAGAUGGAUCAAGAGAAGGGAGGUGUCUAGGGUCCCCUACCUUCAACACUAUUUUCUUAGCAGAUUAUGAUAAUUUUGAGACAGAUUUCUUUUUCUUAUUCGGAGCAAAUAUUUGGGGAGCUCAUCCAACCUCAAUCUGUUUGUGUUUCUAGACAUUUGUCGGUAUUUUUCUUCUUUAUUUCUUCCAUAAAAAUAAGAUAAAAAUGUAUGAGAUACCCCUCAGCAGUAGGCCAUUCCGAACGAUAUCUCUCAACUAUAUUUUCUCAAAUUGAGACCCCCACAACUUUUAAGUUUUGAAAUCAGGCGAUUUUAGCCAAACAAGUUAGAGAUUUUAUGAAAUUAGUUGAUAAUCUCGUCAAAUUUAAUAGUUUAAACUACUCUAUGUCAAAUUAUUCGGGAUUAAUUAACCUAUAAUAGUUAAUUGGGCCAUGAAAGUUAACAAAUUUUUUAAUUUAUAAUUAACCGAACUAUUGGGCCCGGACUCAGCUUGAGUGCGCGUCCUGUUGGUGGACCCAAGAAAAUUGUAGGCUGGGCCGGAUCGGAGAAUGCCUGAUGGAUUCGUUGCCACUCAAAUCAAAUGGAGCCCAAUUCAAAUUUAAGGGCCUGUUUGGUAACUAUUAAAAAUUUUAUAUAACAUUUUUUUAAAAUUUUUUUUUGGAAUUGAUACGUUAUAAUACUACAAUACUCGAUUUCAAAAUAUUACAUUUAUAUACUAUUUGGAGUGGCACUAUAUUACUCCCUUUUAUCAACUUGCCACUUUUUUUUUUUUUAAAAAAAAAAGCUAAGCUAGGAUCUCCUUUUUAUUUUAUAGCAAAAAUACUCCUUUUCGGACUAUAAAUUAUAAACGAUUCUUGGUUGCUCAUCGUGCUUAGUGCAAUUGGUAAAACAUCGAUCACCCGUAUACGAGAUUUCAAAUUCAAAGCUUAAUUACUUUAUAUUUCUAAUUAAGUUUAUCUCUAAAGAAAAAAUUGAACAAGGCAGGUAGUUUGCUAUAUUUCUCUUAAUUUUUGUUUUUUUUUUCUAGUAUGAAGUCAAGAAUUUGUUGAAAAUUUGACUCACUAUGUGUCACGGAUACAGAUACGGAAUACGGGACACGACACGAUUCGAACACGGCGAUUCGACAAAAUUCAAAAUACAAGGACACGAACACGGCAAAGACACGACUAAUAAAAUAUAAUAUUUUUAGUAUAACAAUACAUAUUUAUUAUAUAUAAUAUAUUAAUUUUGCAACAUAACCCAUAAAGAUUUAUGCUCAUUAUUUGAUGUCAUAAUCCUACAACAUUGAGAAAAAAAAAUAUGUACACAUUAAAGGAAUAAUAGUUAAUCUUAAUUAUAACACGUAAAAGAAAAUUAAAAUAAAGAUAAACUAUAACCCUAAUUAAAAAUAAUUUUAAUGUAAAAGUAAUUUGUAAUUCAAAAAAAGUAUAAUAAUGAUACAAUAAAAAAAGAUAGAGAAAGAGAAUACCUUUAAAUGUUCGCGGCUUUGUUGAAGAAAAAUCCAGUAGAGAUCAAAGAUGAGAUAAAUAAUAUUUUUAUUAGAAGUAUAACUAUAUAAAUUCUUUUAAUUAUAUAUUUUUUAAAAAUUAUACGAUCCUUUUCUUUUGAACUAUAUAUUUUUAUUAAUUUAAUAAUAACGUGGCAACGUAACUAAUUAAGUUUCGAAAAUAGUGCGGCUUUCGAAAUAUAUGACACGGUAUGGACGCGCAUCCCCCGACGUGCGGAGUGAAGAAACACAUCCGUGACGCGUAGCCCACUAACAUGUAGUCCUGGACUCUCCUGAGAAUUAUAUAAAUAUUAAGUUACGUGCGCUGAAAAAAAUAUUAUUAAAAAUAUUUAUUUUUUUUAAUAAAUAGUAUUAUGGUAAAUACACCAUAAUCAGUCAAUCAAAAAGAAAAAGUCAUUUUUCCCUUGAGAUUCUAAAUUAUCCUGUCUUUUUUUCCUUCUAAUAGUCCAACAUUUUAUGAAGUCCUUAAUGUGAAUAUCCUACCAUUAAUAGAUCAACACUCACCAACCUAAUACAUACAAUUGUGAUGAAAUUAAAGCAGAGAUUAAUAAUUUCCUGUAACAUAUUUAAACCUUAUUAUAUUUGAUUUAGGGUAGGAAAAAGAAAUAAUAUGGCAUGCAAUUUUGGAAACCAUUUCCUAUUUCCAUUGCUUAUAUUCUUUUUUAAUAGUUUGUCUAUGCGUAAAUGGAAAAGCAUUAUGAGUAAAAUUUUGAUUUUACUAUUCAACCAUUCAAUUUGUUUGAUUUGAAUCGGUCAAUAACACUUUGACUAGAAAAUUUAAACUAAUUGUUUGCUUUAAUGAAUUUAUAGUUGCGAGAAUUGCACGAAAUAUACUAACUACAUUUAUAAAAAUGAACAAUGUAUUUAAAUUUUAAAGCGAAAGUAUUAUUGACCGGCUCAAAUCAAACAAAUUAAAAAAUUAGUUCGUAAAAUCAAAAUUUUGAAAUGUUCGUGUAGUUGAAAGAAAGUGGCUUAUAGUUAGAUAAGUUUCGUAUAUUUUUACUAAUACUAUAUUCUGUACUCUUAUCAUUUAUAUAUAGAAACUAAUUACUAGUAGUGUCAUUAUAUUUUGGAAAAAUUUUAAAUACCACCGAUGUUGUUUCGUACUUUCUCACUUUGAUACCAUGUCGUUUAAAGUGUAUUGAUUUAGUAUCCCGUGGUUUCAUUUUUUUUUAUUAUCCCUUAAUUCUACUAUUUUUUUUUUGUUAAAUCAAUAACAAAGUUAAAACUGAAAGGUAUUAAAGUGAAUAUUCGAUAAACCUAGAUAGAUAGGAUAUCUAAAGUUUUUUUGUAUAUAAUUUAACAAAAUGUUAACAAAGGAGUUGACGGAAAAAGAAAAAUGAAAUCACAGUAUAUUAAAUUGAUACAUUUUAAACCAGAUAGUACUAAAGUCAGAAAAUACAAAACUAUAGGAAUGGUAUUUAAAGUUUAGGGUAGAAAGAAGAAAUAAUAUGGCAACUUUUGAAACCAUUUCCAAUUUCCAUUGCUUAUAUUCUUCUUUAAUAGUUUGUCUAUGCAUAAAUGGAAAACAAUUAUGAGUAAAAGCAAACGAAACGUAUCUAAAUUAUAUAUCAUUUUGAAUUCAUUAUUCAACCUUUUUUAAAGUAUUUUGGCUGAAAAAUUAUUAUUCGUCCAUUUAAUUUUUUUUAAAAAAAACUUACUUUUAUAAAAAAAUCUGACUAGAUUUUAUAAAAAAAAAUAUUAUUGUUAUUUUACAAAUUUUUAUCUGAAAAAUAAAAGUUAUAAUACAAAUAUGAAAAAAUUUCAAAUAUCACCUCUGUGGUUUCACAGUUUCUCACUUUAGUAUCAUGUGAUUUAAUUUUUAUCUGAAAAAAAAAAGUUAUAAUGCAAAUAUGAAAAAACUUCAAAUAUCACCUCUAUGGUUUCACACUUUCUCACUUUAGUACAAUGUGAUUUAAAGUGUAUCAAUUUAGUACAAUGUGAUUUUAUUUUUCUCUUUUUAUUAUCGAUUUCACUAAUUUUUUUCGUUAAAUCAGUGACAAAGUUAAAACUAAAAGGUACUAAAGUGAAUAUUCGAUAAACCUAUGUAGGGUAUCUGUAGUUUUUUGUAUAUAAUUUAAUGAAAUAUUAACGAAAAAGUUGACAAAAAAAUAAAAAUGAAACUACGAGACACUAACUUAAUACACUUUAAUUUAUAGAGUACUAACUACGGGGAUGAUAUUUGAAGUUUAUCCUACACAUAUUUUUCAUAUUUGCGUUUGGAUGGGGAUAAGGAGAGGGAUAGCCCCUUAUGGCCCACUUUAUACCCAAAUGCAAAUUUUUUAUCCGAGAAUAGUAAUUCUUGGGUAUUUGAAAUAAGCUGAUAUAAUUCUUUUCACAAAUACCUCCAUUUUCUAUAUAUAACUACCUACUAUUUUUUUUAUUAUAUAUUAUCUAUUCAAACGUUAUUUUUCUUAUCUCCGGAAACAACUCAAUUUUCAUUCAAAUACUAUUUUUUUUAUCUUCAUAUUUAUAACUAUUUCUCUAAUAGCUAGUUAUUGUUUAUACCCGAACCAAACAACCCCUUAACUACCGUUUGGUUCGGGGUUAAGGAAAAACUAGUUAUUCCAGGGAUAAAGUUAAGUUCAGGGUUAAAGUGGAGUUAAAGUAUUUUUGUAUUUGGUUGGGGAUUGAAGUUAGUCCAGGGUAGUGAAAAAUAGUGUUUGGUUGGAGUAGGUGGGAUAAGAAAGAUAGUGGGUUAUUAUGAAUAGAAAAUAGUAUUUGGUUUGGGUUUGGUGGGGUUAGAUGGGGUUAGCUAAUCCGGAAUAAUUCAUUUGAGGUGGGGUUAGCAGUGGGGUUAGCUAACCCUACCUAUUUUCAGAAGUGUUUGAAAAUAAUAUGGGGGUUAAAGAGUGGAUGGGUUAUUC